GGAAUGUCCCCUGGACUAGAAAGGGACCCUUGAAAAAUUGUGGAUUCCUAAUGUGUAUUUAAAUUAACUUAGGGACCAAAAAAAAUGACUUAACCAAAAAUAGAAACUACAGUUACUUAACAGAAUUAACGGCUAGGUACAACAACGCAAGCUAAGGGUACUACUCUCUUCAGCCACUAUUUUUCUGUUCUUCAGCUCGUGAUAGCUUCAUCUCCAUUAUUUCUCCUCCCUUUGAAACUUCCUUGUCCUCAAGAAAGAAUGAUGGAAAUCUGAUCUUCAUCACUUGAUAAUCUUCCCAUGCGACAUGCUCCUUGGCCAUGUUCUUCCACUGAAUCAAAAAUUGAGGGAUGGCCUUAUUUCCCCUCUUUAUCAUCCUUCUUUCUAGUAUAUUAUCAGGUUCCUCACAGUAAGGACUAGCUGGAUCAACAAUUGGGGGGUGAGUGAAGUGGCUAAGGACCUUAUAACAAAGUUUUAACUGAGAGACAUGGAAGGUUGGGUGGAUUGACACUUGAGAGGGUAGAGAAAAUUUGUAGGCCACUAACCCCACCCUUUGCAUGGUAUGGUAAGGUCUAUAAAACUUGGCUGAUAGUUUGGUGAAAGCUUGAUUAGAGAGGGUGGCUUGUCUGUACGGUUGUAUUUUGAGGUGUGCCUAUUCUCCUACUUGCAAUUGUCUAUUACUUCUUCAUUUGUUAGCUAAGGACUGCAUCCUUUGUUGUGCCCUUUGCAAAUGAUAUUGGAGCAUCUGAGAUUUGAGUUCCCUGGUUAUUAAGCUCCUAUCUAUCUCUUCAUCUAUAACUUCUCCUACGUUGUAAGGGAGAUGGAGUGGUGGUGGUUGACCGAAUAGGGCCUCAUAAGGGGUGGUCUGAAUAGCUUAAUAAAAUAGGGUGUUGUACCACCACUCUGUCAUAGGUAACUAGAGGGAUCAAUCUGAUUGACUAUCAGAACAAAAGCAACUUAAUAGGUCUCUAAGGUUCUAUUGAGCACCUCUGUUUGGCCAUCAAAUUGAGGGUGGGCAGUUGAAGUACUCAAGGUUACUCCAUGUGCUGAGAAUAACUCUUGCCAAAACCUACUAAGAAAAAUGGGGUCUCUACCACUGACUAUAUUCUCAGGCAUGCCAUGUAGUUUAAAAACUUGAUCAAGGAAAACUUGAGCUACAGUCACAGCUGUGUAGGGAUGACUGAGUGCUAUGAAGUGGAUGUUUUUGGUCAAUCUAUCUACCACUACCAGGAUGGUAGUCUUACCCUUAGACUUUGGCAACCCAUCAAUGAAGUUCAUGCUGAUGUUGGACCAAGUAGAAGUAGGGAUUGCCAAGGGCUAUAGGAAGCCAGGUGACGCUGCAGCAUCAUAUUUACUCCUUUGACAUAUGGAACAACUCCUAACAUAAUUGUUAACAUCCUCUCUUAGAUUUUUUCAAUAGAACAUGUGUGACAGCCUCCUGUAAGUAUUUUCCAGUCCAUAAUGACCACUACCAAGAGUAUUAUGCCAUGACUGCAUGAUGUCUUGCCUGAGUUGCUUAUCCUUCCCUAUCACUAACCUUCCAUAUCUCUUGAGUUGUUGGUUAUAGUAGGUGAACCCUUUCUGAUCUCCAUCCUGAUCUAUCAGUUUUUGGAGCAGUUCCUUGAGUUUUUCAUCAUCAUCCCAACUUGCCUUAAUCCUAUGGAAGAGAUUGGUUCCUACAAAGAUUACUGAUAAUAGAAAUAAGUGAGCAGCUGGCACUCUUGAGAGGGAGUCAGCAGCUUUAUUCUCCCUUCCUUUCUUGUAUUCAAUAUGAAAAUCAAACUGCAUGAGCUUUGCUAUCCACUUCAUCUUAGUAUUAGUGUGAAGUUUUUGAUCAGGUAAAAACUUGAGGGCUUUUUGAUCUGUCCUUACAACAAAUUAUCUUCCCAACAAGUAUUAUGACCAUUUGGUUACUACCAAGACUAGAGCCAAGAGCUCUUGGUCAUAAACAGAUAAAACCUGAUGCCUUGAUGAUAACCCCUUGCCCAGGUAUGCUAACGGAAUACUGCACCUUUACCAAUGUCACAUGCAUCAGUUUCUACCAUAAAUUUGAAUGUACUACUGGAAAAGCUAAGUACAGGUGCACUAGUUAAAGCUUCCUUAAGCUGAUUGAAAGCCUGUGUAGCCUUAUCACUCCAAAUGAACCCUUCUUUUUUGAGAAGUUCAGUGAGAGGCUAGCUUAUCCAACUAUACCUCCUAAUGAACCUCCUAUAAUAGCCAGCUAGACCCAAGAAUCCUCUUAGUUCCUUAACAGAUUUAGGAAUUGGCCACUUUUGCACAGCUUCAUUCUUCUUAGGGUCAGUAGUUACACCUUCUGCAGAGAUGAAAUGCCCUAAGUAUUCUACCUUGGUAGAACCAAAAGAAUAUUUUCCUUUCCUAACAAAAAGCUGAUGUUUAAUGAGCAGGUCAAACACAACUCUCAGGUGUUGCAAAUGUUCUUUCAUGUUUCUGCUGUAAACAAGAAUAUUAUCAAAGAAAAAUAGGAUGAAUUUCUUGAGGUAUUCUUUAAAAACAUAAUUCAUGAGACCUUGGAAGCUUGGAAGCUUAAGGAGGCAUUAGUGAGGCCAAAAGGAAUCACUAAGUACUUAUAGUGACCAGAAUGUGUCCUGAAAGCAGUCUUCUGCACAUCUUCUUGAGCCAUCCUUAUCUGAUGAUAGCCUGACCUCAAGUCAAGCUUAGUGUACACCUUGGAACCACCCAACUCAUCCAACAGUUCCUCAAUGAUGGGGAUAGGGAACUUAUCUUUGAUAGUGAUCUUAUUUAAGGCUCUAUAAUCCACACACAACCUCCAAGAGCCAUCCUUCUUACCUACUAGCACCACUAGUGAGGCAUAAGGGCUACAACUAGGUUGUAUUAUGCCUUGAUCCAACAUCUCUUGUAACAACUUUUCAAUUAUGUCUUCUGUCUUGAUGAAUACCUGUAGGGUCUAGUGUUUACAGGAUUGCUGCCCUUUUGUAGUAGAAUCCUAUGAUCAAAUGUGGCCCUGGAUGGAGGGAGUUGUUGAGGGUGCCCAAACAAUAUGUGAAAUUUCUUAGUCAAGGUCACAAUCUCUAGGUGGAUAUCAUCUGAUUCUUCUUCAGUGAGGGAUUCUGCUGGUAAAACCCUGAUCAUGAACAAAUGACCACUAUUGUGAGUCAUCUUGUCCAACCCAUUUGCAUCCAUUAUCUUAGUGGUUUCCCUGACUCCUUGUAACUGUACCUUUUGGUCCUGAUACAUAAAGGAUAGUGCAAGUUUCUGAAAAUUCAUCUAAAGAUCACCUAAUGACAAUAACCACUGCACUCCAAAAUCAUAUCAUAAGACCUCAAAGGAAGAAGUAGGAAGCUGUCUAUAAAAGUAGUUCCUUGCAUCAUCCAUGUGAACCCUCUACACACCUUAUUGGUUUGUCUGUUUCCUCCACCAGCAACAUUAAUAAACUGAGUACUUCCUAGGUCAACUAAGAUAUUGAGAGGUUUUUUCUCACUGUACCCUUUCACUCUUAGUGUGUGAAAACUAGGAAGUCCAUUCAAGGCAUGAAUGGAUAUUUCACAUUUCUCCCCCACUUCUUCUACCUCUAUCUCAGUCACAAUUGGUUCUUCAGGCUGUGCUUUUUCUUCUUUUACCUUACUAUCAUCCAUUUCCAACAAAUAAAGUUGCUUAGAGGUGCUGCACUUGUGCCCAGGGACAAACUUUUCAUCACAGAAGAAGCAAAGUCCCUUUUAUCUCUUCUCACUCAUCUUAGCUGGAGUAAGCCUCUUAGUAUUACUUCUAUUGAGAUCUACAGUGUUAUCCCUUUUUGGUGGUUGAUAAUCUUUCCUAUGGGUUCUACCCCUGUGACUAGUCCCAAAAGAUGACCCCUUGCUCUGACUAAUACCCCCACUAUACAUUGUAAACCUGGUCAAUUUGAGUUGAGCAUUAACUUGCAAUUUUGUAUUCCUGGAUAAUUGAUAGGCUUAAGGGAGGGAAUGGGGUCUAUGAUUCUUGACAGCUAACCCGAUCUCUGGUUUCAACCCAGUGAUAUAGGAACUAAGAGCAUACUCAGGAGGUAGAGUCAACCUAGUCAUGAUUCUAUCAAACUCCUUCUGAUACUCUUCUACUGACCCAGUUUGCUUUACUAAUUUCAACUCAGUCAUGGGGUCUGAGUACUCAGCCCCAAAUCGUUCCAUCAAGGCAUAAACAGAUUCUUCCCAUGAAGGAGGAGGAAGAUGAUCCCUACUCCUUACAUAAGCCAAAUGCCACUCAAUUACCAUAUCAUCAAAAUGGACAAAUGCUACUUUAACUUUUAAAUUAUAAUCUACAUUAUCCAAGGAAAAGAAUUGUUCUACCUUGUAAAGCAAAGUUCUCAACCGAGUACCAUUGAAUCUAGGGAACUUCAGCUUGGUCAUUCUUGACAUUGUUGGACCUCCUGCAUGAUGCUGACCUUGAAUUGGUGGACCGGUAUUUCUCUCAACUCCAGAUGUUUCUCCUGAUGUUUGCCCAACUUGGGCAGGUUGUGGAACUGGUCCCAUGGUCGCAGCAUAUUGAGGCAUAGAUCCCAACCCCAUGUGAACUCUAGCUGGAGAACAAGAGGGUAUUGGAGGCCUUCUAGUAGAAGGAGGUAACUAAGCCAUGGGAUUCCCUGAAGGGGUAUCAACCUCGUUACCUUUAUCUUGCCCUUCAAUACUCUUACCCCUAUCGAACCUUCUAGUUUCCUCUAUAGAUUUCUUCAACUCAGCCAAAGCCUUCUCAUGUUGAGCCUCUAGCUGAUUCUGUCUAACAUUAAAGUUGGCAAUCUCCAACGUUAUCCUCUCGAACAUUGACUUAAUUUCAUCCAUAUUUGUAGACAUAGCUAUCCCACAGAGCUCAAGUAAGUUCUCUGAUACCAAAUGUUGCAGAGCAAUUAACAAAAAGCAAUGGAACAGUGUUCCAGUGGAAAAUAACCAGGUAAAUUGCAAAAAUGGAGCUAAGCUAGACUAAGAACUAAUCUCAGAACUAAUUAAGGCUAAGAUAUUUUUCAUAUGUGUUAGCAAAAUGGAAAUGACUCAGUACAAUUUAUAGUAUUUCAACCUUAGCUAACUCAUCCUAAUCCUUAAGGGAUAAGGCUGAAAUUCUACUACCUCUGCAGGAAUGUUCUUUGGACUAGAAAGGGACCCUUGAACAAUUGUGGAUUCCUAAUGUGUAUUUAAAUUAACUUAGGGACCAAAAUAAAAAAGGACUUAACCAUAAAUAGAAACUAUAGUUACUUAACAGAAUUAACAACUAGGUACAACAACGCAAACUAAGGGUACUACUCUCUUCAGCCACUGUUUUCCUGUUCUUCAGCUGGUGACAACUUCAUCUGCAUCAUCACACCCUAGUUAUUUUCAAUUUCAGCGUUAGAUCUACCACUGGUGUGUUUUGGGUUAGUGUUAGAGCUUGAGUUUCUGCCUCUCCUGCUUCUACUUUUGGUAGUAGGGUACUGUUGAAUGUUUGCAUCUUCGAAUAAUCAGUGUUUAGCAUUUAGUGUUCAUAUAUGUGAUAUCAGGAACUCUACUGGUAACCCCCCCUCUUUAGAUUCUCUCGAGUUAAAUAUACUUUUCUGGCCACUAACCAUACAACGCAUUGCACCUUAGAGGAUGCAUUUACUUCCCAAAACACCUUUUUCUCCAAAGAAACUAAAAGUGCAACUGGUUAUACCCCCAACCCCAACCCCUCCACACACACACUAAGCAAAAACUAAGAAGCAGAUCGAAAUUCAAACUAAAAGUGCAACUGAUUAUAUUCAGCUGAAUUUCAUUUCAAUUAAUUUAAAACUAAUUAAGUAAUCAAUCAAUUACAAUAAAAUUUUUAACUAAUUUAUUCAGACUGCUCCACAUCGUUCCAUUCGGGUCCAAUUAGAAUCUAAUUUUUCAAAAGUUAUAGUAAAAAAAUAGCUGUGAAUAGUUAAAUCCCUGCAAAAUCUAGUAAUCAAAAUACAAAAAUACUUACAGAUCGAAAUUCAACAGAAAAGGUUUGGAGUUUUGUACCUGAUUUGGUUCCCUUUCACUCUGCUUUAGCUUCAAUCGGCUAUAAAAACGUCUGCGUACAGAUCUCAAAGACGGGAUGGCCGUCUAAGGGAGAUGAGGCCGGAGCUACACCGAAGAAGUACUUCAAUCGGGUGAAAUUGACAACGCAGUGAGACCUUAGGUUUUUUCAGAGAGAGAGAGAGAGGCACGGUUGUGACACAAAGAUAAUUGGGAAAGUUUUGAUAUAUUUAAUUUAUAUUUUAUAUAAAUUAUUUAAUAAUAAAAUAUAAGUUUCUGACUACUUCUGUCGGGUAUAGAUUUAAUAUAUUUAAUUAUUUAAUAUUUCCGACAACAAUAGUCGAUAUAUAUCGAAUAUAUUUAAUUAUACAUUUAUUUUUCCAAUUACAUCAAUCGAUUCGAUAUUUGAUACAAUUAAAUUACAUAUUUAAAUUAUAUUUAUAAAAGUUUCGACUAUAAUAGUUGAAAUAUUUUAAUUAUAUAUAAUUAUUUAAUAUUUCCAACUAUAUCAGUCAGUUAUAUAUUUAAUAUAAUUUAAUUAUAUAUUUAAAUUAAUUAAUAUAAUGUAAUUAUAUAUUUCAAUUAAUUAAUACAAUGUGAAAAACUACCGUGUAACUUAUAUUUAAUAAUUAUUUAUUUAUAGAGCAGCCUUUUUGUAAUGCAUUUAGUAAUAUAUUUAUGUAAUUAAUACAAUUUCCGACUACAAUGGUCGAAAAAUAUAAUUAAUAAGAUAUUUAAUUAAUUAUAAAUUUUCUCUAUAAGGGUAUGACUAUAUAUUUAGUCAUAUAUUUAUUUAGAUAUUAGUAUUUCUGACUAUAGUGGUUGAAAAUAUAUAUUUAAUAAUAAAUAUAAAUAUUUAUUUAAUUUUCAUAUAAGGGUCUAAUUAUAUAUUUAUUUAAUUAUUUAUAUUUCUGACUACAUCAGUCGGUUAUAUAUUUAAUAUAAUUUAAUUAUAUAUUUAAAUUAAUUAAUACAAUGUGAAAGACUACCGUGUAACUUAUAUUUUAUAUAAUUAUUUAUUUAAUAAUUAAAUAUGAUGUUUCGACCAGUAUAGUCGGGAGCAAGAUAAAUAUUUUAAAUUAUUUAAUGUUUUCGAGUAUAGUAGUCGGAUACAGUUAAUAUAUUUACAAAGAAACAUCUUUGUAAUGUGUUUCAUAAUAUAUUAUUUAAUUUUUACAAUUUCUAACUACAGUAGUCAGAAAUAUAUUUAAUAAUAUAUUAAUUUAUAAUUUUAUAUAUAGGAUUAUUUAUAUUUCCAACUACAGUCUUCAAAAAUACAUAUUUAAUAAUUUAUUAUAAUAAUUAUUUAAUUUCUGUAUAAGGAUUUGAUUAUAUAUUUACUAAUAUAUUUAUAUUUUCGAUUACAACAGUCAGAAGAUAUAUUUUUCGGAAUUUACCGCCAAAUAUUCUGACUAUUGUAGUCACAAAUAGUAUCAAAAAAAUAUUUUGUAAAAAUAAAAAAUAAAAAAGUAAAAUUUUCGACUACUUUUUUUCGGUUGGAAAUGUCUGUCGGAAAAUAGCGAAUUUCUGGUAGUGAGCCUAUGACAUAACCCUUCACGAAACCUUAUGAAAGGUAAGUGGUGAGCUCUCAAAAUUUUAUGUCACAUUGCGAACCGUUAUAAAAUGAGAAACCGUCGACGAUAUCUUUGAUACAAUAUUGACGCAAUAUUGUGAAAGAUUACGAGGAUCUGAAUUCUACGCUUAUUUAAGGAUGCUGGCGUAGAAACAUUUAUCAAAUGACAUGAAAGGAUGCAUCUUAGUAAGCAUAACAACUUAUUCUGCAGUUCAAGCACUUGAAGAUGUCACACAUAACAUGCUAAAUAUUAUCACUUGACAAAAUUUAUAUGGAAACCUUUUAAUGAUUCAAAAUGUUUAAAGCAUAUAAAAAUUUUCAGGAAACUUAUUUAGAAUUCUUAUAUUGUAUAAGCUUAUAGCUUGAAAAUUAUUGAAACUCUAGGAGAGUUUUCAAAAGCAAUAGAUUAUUUGCUGAAAUAAGAAAUAUACCAAAUUGGAUUGGUUAUGAAGUACCAUAUCUUAGUGAAAGCAGUGUACUAAUAUAUUUUACAAAUACUACAAGGCCUGAUACAACCUUUUUAGUCAAUUUGUUAGCAAGGUAUAUUUCUGCUCCUACUAGGAGACAUUAAAAUGGGAUAAAAGACAUGAGCUUAUUUUAUUCUAAAGCUUGCAGUCUCGAUCUUGUUGGCUAUGCUAAUGUUGGGUACUUAUCUGACCCGCAUAAAACUUGAUCUCAAACAAGCAAUGUGUUUAUAUGCGCGGUACUGCCAUAUCUUGGAGAUAUACAAAAUAUUCUAUCGUAGCUACUUCAUCGAAUCAUGCUGAGAUAAUAACUAUUCAUGAAGCAAGCCGAUAGUAUGUGUGGUUGAGGUCCACGAUACAUCUUAUUCGUGAAAAAUGUGAUUUGAAAUGUGAUAAAGUACCCAUAAUUUUUUAUAAGGAUAAUGCAGCAUGCACAACACAACUUAAUGGAGGACUCAAGGAGAUAGAACGAAUCACAUUUCAUCAAACCUUUUCUAUACAUCACUCAAGAGAUAAUGUGGUUGAUUUAUUCAUCAAGUCUCCUCCAAUACUUUCAAGAAGAUUGUGCACAAGAUCGGGAUACAAAGGUACAAGGAUGUUCUCAUUAGGGUGAGUUAGUAUGUAUCAUACUCCUUUUUUUACGAGAUUUUGUCCCACUGAAUUUUCUUUGUAAUGUUUUUAAUGAGGCAACCUAUAUGCCUAUUGUUAGAGAUGUGUACUCUUUUUCGUUCACUAGAUUUUUUUCACUGAUUUUUUUCUAGUAAGGUUUUAACGAGGCACAUUAUUUAUCAAUUAAACAAUCAAGGGGUUUUUUUUAUAAAUAUAUUACCAUAUAUAGUAAAUGUCUACUUUACCAUAUAUUGUGAAUGUCUAUUUAUGAAAAAGUUACAAACCCCAAGAUUAGUUUUCCCCCUAUAAAUAAAAGAGAUUUCAUUCAUUGUAAUUUACCUCAUCAAAAGAUUUCAGAAGAGAAAUAAUAAUCACUCUCUCUUCUAUCUCUAUUCUUCUUCUUUGCUUUAUAUUUCAUAACAAGUAUAACUUAGUCGAUAAUUUUUCUAUUGCAUAAAAGAUGAGAUAUUUUAUUUAUUAUUAAAUUUAUUAAAAGAAACAAAAAGGGUGAAAUUCUUAUUCAAUAUUUGAUACUCUUUAGCUAACUCAAAGUUAAAAAAUAUAAUUAAAAAUGGUAACUUUUUAAUGUGUGUAUAAUCAUUGUAAUUUAUAUUAUAAAUAUUUUAUUGUCAAUUUAAUUUUGAAGCAUUUUAAUACAUAGUAAAUUUUGUAUGAUAUUUAGUUUUUAUUUCAAACAUUAUAUUUUGUUUAUAUUUAAAAAAAAGAGUAAAUUAAUAAGAAAAUAUAGAUCAAAUUUAACAAUAAUUAUAAAUAUAGUGUAAAAAUACAUUAUAUAUUUAAUAUAAUAAUUUUAAAAUAUUAUUUUGAUCCCUAAUAAGAUGAUUUAUAUACAAAUAAAAUACAUAUAAACUAAUUUAGAUAAAAAAUGUGAAAUUUUUUACAUAUUUUAAAUUGUGUCAUAUUAAAAUACAUCAGAAAAAUUGAGAUAAACACUUACAAAUUGUUGAAACUAUUCUAUUUAAGGAAAAACAACAUCAAUGUACACCUUAACUUAACAUAUUUAUAAAAUCGCCACCCUUAUGGAGCAAUUAUAAAAAUUCACUCUAAUUAUCUAUAUUCGUUGGAUGAAUAGAAAGCAAAUUAUUUAUCUCAAAAGACAUAAAAUUAUAAUUAUAGUAAUUACAUACAAUUUUGAGAUAUUUCAUAAUAUAACUCCGUAAAUAUUUGAAUUUAUAUUAUUAUAUAUUUAAAGUGAAUUGUAAAUUUGAAAAAAUAUUGUGGUCCAAAAAUGAUAAAAAUUCUAAAGGCCCAAAUAAAUAUAUUAAAAAUACAAAAUAUAAAACAGGAAGGUAAAGUACAUUGUACUUUUAGAAAGCUCACUUUAGCUUGUUUUUAAAAGGAACACUUCGUAUUUUCCGUAUUAUUAAAUUAAAGUUUUAUUUUAAUAUUUAUGAUUGUAAGCUUGUUUGUUGAUGAAUUUUUUUUUUUUGAAAUUUGAGCAAGUGUUUUGUUGAGCAAACAUUGAUGUUUAAAGAAUUGUGAUUUAUUUAAAAUUAUGUGUAAAAAUAUUAUUUAUAUUUAUAUAUUUGACCCAACUGAUUAAGCAAGCUUAUAGAAAUUUUCUCUGUGAAAAAAAUCUUCUGUGUUAACUUUUCAAAUAAGAGGUAAAUUAUUAUCAGCUUUGCAUGAAGAAUUUAAAAUAUUAUUAAAUAUAAAAAAUGAAGAUCCUUGAAUUUUUCGUUGGGCGGGUGAAAUGAUGUCCUAAACUUGGGGUCUAUUAGAAACAACCUUUCUACUUCUUUUGAAGUCGUGGUAUGAAUUGCAUACAGUUUAUUUUCAGAUUCAAUAUGUGAAAAUACAUUGGAUAUGUUGAGUAUUUGUUGAUACGGAUAUAUCGAUAUUGAGAACUUUUAUUGUAUUUCUGCUUAUAAAAAAAUAAAAAUCCAUAAGCCUCUUUUAACUUCUCUUAAGUGUUAAUUUUUAAUAUUUUUAUUAAAAAAAUAUUAUUUUAUUACAUGUCUUAAUAUUUCAAAGUAUUUGAGGUUAUUAUGAAUUUCUUAAAUUUUGAAUAAUAGAAUAAUUGACUAUUGAUUUGUGAGUGUGAGUUAAUAUUUUUAAAAUUUGAAACUUAAAAAAAUUAAUUGGCUAAACAAUAAUAUUCUCAUCAAUUUUUUUUUUUAAAUAGAAUUUGACAUGAUUUUUCUAUUCUUGCAAAUUUUAAUAGUUAUUCUUAAGUUAUUGAUCUAAGAAGAAUUGAGUAGUUUCAUAAAAAUAUUGAUGGAAUGUAUCUGCAAGAAUGACUUAUAAGAUGUCCUUUUUACUUUCAUAAGUAGUCAUUUUUAGAGUGUCCAUCAAGAAAUUAAUAUAUUUAGGUUAUAUGAUUUUUUUUUAUAGUUACGUGAUUAUGAAAGAUUAAAUAAUUAUGUGAGCAUGUUCAAGAUCUUCAAGUCAGUAGUAUUUCACAUUCAAUUGUUUGAGUUGGUUGCAAAUUUUAAUUGAAUAAGCAAACAUCAUUAUGUUUUCUGCAUGAUUCCUUCACCAUUUGUAUUGAAGUAUGCAAUGAAGAUUUUAAAUGUUGAUAUUGUAUUCAUCAUAUUAUAUUAUGACUUUUGAGUUUAUCAUAUACUUAGGUCUUUGUAUUUUUCUGCUUUAAAGAGAAAUAUACUCAUUGUUCAUUGAUUUAUCUGUUAUCAUUAGCAUAAUAAAUUACAAGUGCUAAUAUUUUUUAAAGUAUACAUCUAUAUUCAGUUGGGUGAUAUAGAAAUCAUAUUGAGGAUCUUAGUUAAUGCAUAAAUGUCAUGAUUGUUGAAUCUUAAAUCGUAGCAAAAUCAGAAUUAAUGAUUGUAUCUAUUUGACUAUUCUAUUGAAUACUUUACUCUUUAUAGUUUUUAGGAUCAAAAUUAGGCACCUCUAAACUGUCAAACGCUAUUGUCAGGAAAACUGAAGCAUUUAACUGUAACAAAAAAAUUUAUCAAGGUAAUUUUUAUUUUUUGUACUUUGAUAUCUAUGUUAUUGCUCAUCUCCUCCUAAUCCUUGCAUGUGAAUAUAACUAGAACUGACUAUUAAUUAUGAAUAUUUUUACACAUGAUAAUUUUUUUUUCUUGAUUGAUUCUAAUGUCCUGAGUAUAUUUACUUUUUUAGAUAAAGCAUAAAUAUAAAAUAGUACCUAAUUCAACACCAUCUGACAGUAGAAGAAAUCUGUCCAUUACACUUCUCGGUAGCAGAUAGAGGAUUUUCUCCAAGAUGUUCGUGAUGAUUUGAUCAUGCUUACAUCUCAGAUACAUUUAAAUUUGGCUAGAAUAAAGCGCAUGACAUCUGUUUGGCAUCUUAAGAGACUGUAGCUGUUGCUAUCCUAGUAGUUGCUGAAACAGAAGCAAAUAUAGUUGAGACAUAGGAAGCGAAUAGGGAGAUUGAUGUUACUCAAGCUUUUUUAGUAGAUGCAAAGAAGCCACUAUAUAAGAGCAGUUCCCCAAGGAUGGUAAGGCAUCCUUUUAUUUUAAUUAUUUGAUUAUUGUGUAUUAUUUUACUUGUCGCUCUUAUCUAUCAUUUAUUUUAUUGUUUGUAGCAUAUGUCCUUUCUUAUAUCUAUAUCAUUAUUGAUUUAAUGUCUACACUUGACAUAAAUUUUUUUGCCACCAUUUGGCAUAUGAAAUAUAUUUUAGUGAAUUGCGAAGAUGUAACGCCCCGAGUCUGUACCUCGGACGCCACACGGUGCUUACGACCCCAAAGGACCAUAAGCUAAAUCAUGACUAAUAUCUGUUGUGAGCACUGAGUAACAAUACUGUAAUAAAUGCGAAAAAAAUAGGCUAAAAUGCCAUAAGGUUCAAAACCUGAAAUACUGAUAAAGAAUACCAACUGUAAUAAUGAUUUGUACAACUGAAUACAAUCUGAAAGUCUAGUUUGAAAGCCUCUAUCUGUCUGAAUAUGGAUUUGAUGGGACAAGUCCCCAACUAACUCCGACUACUGAAAUAAACUGAAUAAUGAAAUGAUAUGAUAACUUUGUCCUCGAACUAUGAGGACUCACCACUAGGUCUGCUACAGAUAGUCUGGGCUACUAAUUUUUGUCAGGAGCCUGUGCAUCUGAACCUAUGAUAUAAAACAUCAUAGAGCAAAAGAAAAGGUAUACGUCAGUACUUUAAAUGUAUUGGUAUGCUAAGCCAGGUAAGCUGAUAUGCAAGGGUUUAUAUGCAUGAACAAUAAUUGACUGAAUAACAUGAAUACAACUGAAUGAGAGUACAUGUAUAACUGAAACUAAUGAAACACUGUUUAUGCAAUACUGUGUAUAUAUCUACAUAUACUGUGUCUGAGAUCAUAGUAACACUGGAUACUAAGUUCUGAUAACUGAAUGACUGAUAUCUGAGUUUACUAAUAACUGUAUUACUGAUAGAUGGGUGACUAUUUCUAACAGUCCUGAUUUUGUAGAAUUGAACUGAGUUCUAUAUUGAGCUGGGUGACUGUGUCUGACAAGCCUGAUUCUUUAGAAAUGAACUGAGUUCAAUACUGAGACUGAAAUUGAAACUGUAGAAGGUAAAUCAUUUAACCGACAUGCCUCUCUCUGAACUUAUUGGGGUCCAACCUGUAACCCCAGUUGAAAGGGUGUCAGUACCGUGCCACGGGUAAAGACAAGUGCUGAGUCAACCUCAUUUAGCAGGUACUCUAAAUGAGAACGGUGGUACCCUCAACUGGCAGGAAAAACACCUCAUCAAUCCUCAACUGGCAGGUUGAUGUCUCAACCUACGCUGGCUACGUAGUUAUGGAAUGCCAGGACUGCUUCUAAGUAUCAUACCCUUUACUGGUAGGUGAGUCCCUAUCCUUGGAUUCACUCGGUGCUGAAUCCUACUCCCAACUGAAUAGACACAGAAAUAAUUUCUAAACUAUUCUAGGCUAGACUAAACUAUUACUGAUCGUGUUAACUGACUGAACUGGACUGAGUUCACUGAUUACUAUAACCGAUUAAGUGUUCUGAGUUUUAUUUGCUGACUGGAUAUACUGAGUUCUGUAUUGACUGAAUGUCACUGUACGUGACAUUACUGAGACUAUUCUGAAGCUACUGUAAUUUUAGGUAAACAGCUAGAUUGUCGGGUAUUAGAUACCCCUAGGACUCGAUAACAUGAAAAGUAAAGCAUAGCAUGAUCUUGAAAAGCAUUACAAUGUUCAUAACUCAUUCAUAGAGAUAUUUUACUAAACACUUGUAAGAUAUAAGUUUGUACAUAUGCUAGCAUGUCAUGAUUUCCCCAUUUAAUCCACAUGAGCAAUUUAUCAAACACUUGGGGAACAUAAUCUAUGCACAUAAUACUAAUCAACAUGUAGGUAUCAUAAUUUUCAAUCCCAAUUUACUUCAAGGGCUUUAACAUGAAUUCAUAUAAUACUACACACAUGUCCAAUAAAUUUACAUGAAUCUUGUAAUAAAUCAUGAAUUAGAAACCCAAUUAACAUCAUAAUGAUGAAUACAUUCAAGCCCAACAUAGAAUUCAUGAAUUCAAUAAACUUACAUUUUUAAAAGAGGUUCUUGAACUCCAAGGGUGGAAGGAAACCCUUGGAUGAACACCUAACAUACCUUGGUUAUUAAUUCUCUAAAAGUUGUGGAGAAUUUCUUGAAUCUUAAAUCUUGAAUUGGAAGCCCUAGGGUUUUAUUUCUUGAGUAAUUUUGAGAAUAAUAAGUGUUUUAUCCCUAAGAAUGACUUAAUCUCAUAUUUUUGGGGAUGAAUAUGAGUGGAAAAUGACCCAAUUACCCCUCUGGAUACGGGUUUUUAAUAACUAAAAACGUGUCCAGUGACGCACAGACCGGCGCGCUGUGUCGAUAAAAUCAAUGCGAUGACCAAUGCGCCGCAUCGAGUUCGCAUUGGUUCACUGGAAUUACACUAAAAGCUGGGGGAAAAUUAUCUGUCAACACGAAGGGCGACGUGAUGCAUCGAGAUCGCGUCGACCCACUAUUUUGGUCACCCAAACAUGGUUUAAGCAAGGUCCAAAAAAUCCAAAACUCACCCGAGGUGACCUACUAACAUUCCUAAUCACGAAUCAACCAAAAAUAUUAAUAUUUUAAGGUCAUAAGGGUUGUAGAAUAGGAUCACAAACUUAUGAAGGCUAAAAUACUUCUAAGUAUAAACACUUGGCUGAAAUUUAUAAGUCUGAGACCUCUUUUCAAGCUUUAACGGACUGAGUUAAGCUUAGAAUUUUAUGGGGUCUUACAAUAUCUCCCCCUUGGGAACAUUUGUCCUCGAAUGAGACUGACUAAGCUGAGAAACACUGAUAGACUGAGCUUACACACUGAACAUGCAUAUCCGAUGCAUGGAAUACCUGACUGAAACUCCUGAUAAACUGAGUUUACAAAAUGAACAUACAUAUCUGAUGCAUGAGUACAUGGUUGAACUAAUUUAUGAAUGCAUGACUAUCAUGAAGAUGAUAUGCAACGGUAAUGAAUACUAAAUUGUAACUGUAACUAAACAUGGAGCUGAGAAAAUCUAAGAAAGAUUGUUACCUUGAGCUGAGUCUGAGUUUGCGUAGAAGAGAUAAGGAUACUUGGUCCGCAUAUAUACUUUUGAUUUCCAAGUAGCUCCUUCAAUGGACUGAUUUUUCCAAAGAACUUUGACUAGUGGAACUUCUUUGUUUCUCAGUCUGCGAACCUGAUGAUCAAGAAUUUUGACUGGCAUCUCUUCAUAAGAGAGGCUAUUCUAAACAUCUAUACCCUCUAUAGGGACUACAACUGCUGGGUCACCUCUGCACUUCUUUAGUAAGGAGACAUGAAACACUGGAUGUACUGAAGCUAAGUUUGAAGGCAACUUAAGCUCGUAAGCUACCUUUUCAAAAUGGCUGAGAAUUUGGUAAGGACCGACAUAUCGGGGACUGAGUUUUCCUUUCUUGCCUAACCUCUUCACUCCCUUUAUAGGAGAUAUUUUUAAAUACACAUAAUCACCAAUCUCAAACUCAAGAUCCUUCCUUCGUACAUUUGCAUACGACUUAUGUCGGCUCUGAGCUGUCUUAAACCUUUCCCUGGUCAAUUGAACCUUUUCUAAGGUAUUAAAUAUUAUGUCAGGCCCUACCACUGCAGCCUCACCCACUUCAAACUAACCAAUGAGAGAUCUAUAUCUCCUCCCGUAAAGUGCCUCGAACAGAGCCAUCUGAAUGCUGGAAUGAUAACUGUUAUUAUAUGCGAACUCAAUCAAGGGACAAUGGUCAUCCCAACUCCCCUUAAAGUCAAUGGUACACUCUCUUAACAUAUCUUCUAAAGUUUGAAUGGUCCUCUCUACUUGACCAUCUGUCUGAGGGUGGAAGGCUGUACUGAGGUGAACUUGGGUACUAAGACCCUUUUGGAAGGCUUUCCAAAAGUGAGAGGUGAAAUGCAUACCUCUAUCUGAGAUGAUAGACAACGAAACUCCGUGCAAUCUGACCAAAUCUCUAACAUAGAACUUGGCAUAAUCCUCGGCUGAAUAAGAGGUAUGAACUGGUAAGAAAUGAGCUGAUUUCGUCAUCUUGUCAACAAUGACCUAAAUUGAAUCAUGCUGAUGAUGAGUACAGGGUAAACCCAUCAAAAUAUCCAUGUUCACUUUCUCCCACUUCCACGCAGGAAGGAAUACUGAACUCUUGCAUGGAACCACUAGGUUUUUGGUUCUUAAUCUUAACCUGCUGAUAUGUAAACACUUAGCAACAAACUCUGCAAUAUCUUUCUUUAUCCCAUUCUACUAAGAGACUUCCCACAAAUUGAGGUACAUCUUAGUAUCCCCUGGAUAAAUAGAGUAACGUGCACCAUCUGCUUUUACAAAAAUUCAUUGCCUCAAGUCAUCUAUACCUGGCACGCAUAACCAACUCUGGCAACACAAUACAUUAUGUCCCCCUAGGAAGAAAACCUCUACUUUUUGAUCUCUGACUGACUCUUUCAACUUGACUAAACUGGGAUCUCUGUCCUGCUUUUCCUUCACUUCAGAAACCAGAGAUGAUUCUGAACUAUUUUGUAUCCACACACUUCCCUCUGCUAAGCGGACACCUAGUCGGGUAAGCUGAUGAACUUUCUGAACUAACUUCUUCUUAUUAUCCUCCAUGUGAGAAACACUACCUAUAGAUAUCCUACUGAGAGCAUCAACCACUAUAUUAGCCUUGCUCUGGUGAUACAGGAUACUCAUGUCGUAGUUCUUCAACAACUCUAACCACCUCCUCUAACGUAGGUUCAGAUCUUUAUGAUAAAACACAUACUGCAGGAUUUUGUGGUAUGUGAACACAUCAAAAUGUACUCCAUACAAAUAAUACCUCCAAAUCUUUUAGGUAAACACCACAGCUGCUAACUCAAGAUCAUGAGUGAGGUAAUUCUUUUCAUGAGGCUUAAGCUAUCUAAAGGCAUAGGCUAUGACCUUACCUCUCUUCAUCAAAACACACCCCAAACCAACUCUGGAAGCAUCACAAUAUACCACAAACCUAUCUGAACCAUCUGGUAAAGUCAAAACUGGGGCUAUAGUGAGUUGAGUCCUUAACUAUUGAAAACUCUUCUCAUAAGAAUCUGACCACUAGAAUUUGACUUUUUUCUGAGUCAAUCUAGAUAUAGGGGAUGCAAUAGAUGAGAAUCCAUCGACAAACCAUUGAUAAUAGCUAGCCAAACCCAAGAAACUCUUAAUAUCUGAUAGAGAAAUGGGUCUGGCUAGUUUCUAAUUGUUUCAGUUUUUUGAAAAUCCAUACUAAUGCCAUCACCGUAAACUAUGUGGCCAAGAAAAGCUACUGACCUUAGCCACAAUUCACACUUACUGAAUUUGGCAAACAACUGAUGGGCUCUGAGGGUCUGCAACACUAUUCUGAGAUGGUCUGCAUGUUCAAGUUCACUACGAAAGUAGGCAAGAAUGUCAUCAAUAAAUACUAAGAUGAACAUGUCCAAGUACUGCUUGAACACACAGUUCAUCAAGUCCAUGAAGGCUGUUGGAACAUUGGUAAGACCAAAUGACAUGACUAAGAAUUUAAAGUGGCCAUAUUGAGUUCUGAAAGCUAUUUUAGAAAUGUCACAUUCUCUGACCCUGAGCUGAUGAUAUCCUGAUCUAAGGUCUAUCUUAGAGAAGUAACAAGCACCCUGAGGUUGGUCAAAUAAGUUAUCAAUUUUGGGAAGUGGAUACUUGUUCUUGACCAUGAAUUUAUUUAGCUGACGGUAGUCUAUACACAUCCUAAGAGAAUUAUCUUUCUUACGGACGAAUAGAACUGGUGCACCCUAAGGGGAUACACUGGGUCAGAUGAAUCCCUUAUCUAGGAGAUCCUUUAACUGUUAUUUUAAUUCUUUAAGUUUUGCUAGAGCUAUUCUGUAUGGCGGAAUAGAGAUAGGCUGAGUAUCUGGAAGAAGGUCUAUUCCGAAGUCAAUUUUACUUGUGGAAGGGACCUCGAGAAGAUCUUCGAGAAACACAUCAGGAAAUUCACAUGCUACUGAUACUGACUCAAGAUUAGGGGUCUCUGAACUAGAGUCUUGAACUCGAAAGAGAUGAUACACACAUCCCUUAAAUAUCAUUCUUCUCAACCUAAGGUAAGAAAUAAGCUAACCCCUAAGUACUGAAGUACUACCCCUCUAUUCAAGGACAAGUUCAUUCGGAAACUAAAAAUGGACAAUUUGGUUUCUGUAGUCAACUGAAUCAUAGCAUAAAAGAAGCCAAUCUAUGCCAAGAAUGACAAUAAAAUCUGUCAUCUCUAAUUCUACUAAGUCUGCUGAAGUGAAUUUUCUGAGAUACCAUAACGGGACAGUUCCUAUAUACCCAUUGGGCUAUGAUAGAUUUUCCCUCUGGGGUAGAGACUGAGAAGAGCUCUACUAGGAUUUCGGGACCGACUCCAAAGUCAACAGCUAUAUAAGGAGUUACAAAGGACAAAUAAGCUCCUGGAUCUAGCAAAGCAUAAAUGUGUAAACAAUAAACUUGUAAUGUACCAGUGACCAUAUUAGGAGAACUUUCCUAAUCCUAUUGGGACUAAAGUGCAUAAGUCUAUUUGGGCACUGCCCACUGGUGGUACUGGAAGGGGCAACCUACUGAUUUGGGUGAUCGGACUGAGCUGAAGGACAAUUAUAUUGACCCUGAGAACGUGACUGAGGAUAAUCUCUGAUCCUAUGGCUUGGCUUGCCAUAUCCAAAACAUACAUCAUUUCCAGCCCUGCAGAUACCCUGGUGGUUUUUGCCAUAUUUUUGGUAAAGAGGGUUUGUUCAGGAACUGCUAACACUACCCUGAGGUUUAGGGCUUGGUGCCCUAUCUCUAUUGCCAUCUAUGAAUUUCGGCACUGGAGCACUGUCUGAGGACGGAGCUAUAACUGGGGAUUUGGGUGGAACUAAGAACGAUUUCCUCUUUUUGACUUAGGCUGAGUGAAGUUGAAGAUACCUAUUCUAACUCUCUUGUUCUCUCUCUCCUUAUCCCUCUCCUUAGCCUCCUCCAUCUACUGAGAAUAGACCAUGAGCUUGGAUAUGUCCAUCUCCUUAAUCAAUAUUAUAGUCCUACACUCAUUGACCACACUGUUAGACAUGCCAGACAUAAACUUACUCAUCUUAGACUUGCUAUCUGCUACCAUAUGAGGAGUGUAUCUAGCUAUCUGAGUAAACUUGAGAGAAUACUAUUUCACUGUCAUAUUUCCCUACUUAAGAUUAAUAAAUUCCAAAACCUUUGCUUUUCUUAACUUCAGUGGAAAGAACCUAUCCAGAAAAACAGUGGUAAACUCAUCCCAUUCUAUAGGCCCUGCAUCUACGGCCCUCUCUGUCUUUCACUACUUGAACCAUGAGUGAUCCAUAUCCUAUAACUGAUAUGUAGCCAACUUAGCUCUAUUUCUAGCUGUCACCCCCAUAAUAUCUAUAACUUUCUGCACCUGAUUAAGAAAUUCCUAUGGUUCCUCAUCUGACUUAGACCCAAUAAAGGCUGGAGGGUUCAUUCACGUGAAGUCCCAAAUUCUAGCUGUAGAAGUGUUAGCCACUAGAUUGGCCAGAAAUGAAGCUGGACGUUCAUUCUGGGCUUCCACAGAAUGAGCUAGAGUGGAGAAAGCUGCUCUGAAUUCCGUAUGAGAGACAUGCUCAUCUAGGGAAUCUGCCUAAACGGGCAAAAGUGCUGGAUGAUUUUCUGUUCUCCUACCAUUGUUCUUUUUGUGAGGCAUGUUCUGUAAACAGAAGUAAGAAAAGGAUUUGACUGAGAGUGUAACUUUAUAUCAUGCUCACUCACACGAUAUGAAUACUGAAAGAAGGGAAACUUUUUCUAAAAAUACCUCAUAGCCUCUUGUCCAUAAGUGUGGUGCGCUACACACCCAUGCACAAGACUCUACUAGAUGCAAAUUUUAGACUUCCUAGGACUCUGUUGAACCUUAGGCUCUAAUACCAAGUUUGUACCACCUUGAGUCUGCACCCCGGAUGCCGCACGGUACUUAUGACCCCGAAAGACCACAAGCUAACCCAUGACUGAUAUCUACUAUGAACACUAAGUAACAAUAUGUAAUAAAUACGAAAAAAUAGGCUAAAAUUCCAUAAGGUUCAAAACCUAAAAUACUGAUAAAGAAUGCCAACUAUAAUAAUAAUUUGUACAACUAAAUACUGUCUAAAAGUCUAGUCUGAAAGCCUCUAUUUGUCUGAAUAUAAAGUUGAUGGGACAAGGUCCCAACUAACUCUGACUACUGAAAUAAAAUGCAUACUGAAAUAAUGAAAAUGAUAUGAUAACUUUGUGCUCGAACUAUGAGGACUCACCACUAGGUCUGCUGCUGAUAGUUUGGGCUGUUAAGUUUGGUCAGGAGCCCGUGCGUCUGAACCCAUGAUAUAAAAUAUCAUAGCGUAAAAGAAAAGGUAUGCGUCAGUACUUUGAAUGUACUGGUAUGCUAAGUGAGGUACGCUGAUAUACAAGGGUUCAUAUGCAUGAAUAAUAAUUGACCGAAUAACAUGAAUACAACUGAAUGAGAGUACAUGUAUAACUGAAACUGAUGAAACACUAUUUAUGCAAUACUAUGCACAUAUCUACAUACAUUGUGUCUGAAAUUUUAGUAACACUGGAUACUGAGUUAUGAUAAUUGAAUGACUGAUAUCUGAGUUUACUGAUAACUAUAAUACUGAUAACUGGGUGACUGUUUCUGACAGUCCUGAUUCUGUAGAACUAAACUAAGUUCUAUACUGAUCUGGGUGACUAUGUCUGACAGUCCUAAUUUUGUAGAACUGAUUCUGACACUCUUCUAACAGACAUGCCCCUCUUUAAACUGAUUUGGGUCCGACCUAUAACCUCAGCUGGAAGGGUAUUAGUACCGUGUCAUGGGUAAAGACAAGUGUUAAGUCACCCUUAUCUGGCAGGUUCUCUGAACAAGAAUGGUGGUACCCUCAACUGGCAGGUAGAACACCUUACCAACCCUCAACUGGCAGGUUGAUGUUUCAACUUAUGCUCGCUACAUAGUUAUGGAAUGCCAGGAUUAUUUCUAAGGAUCACACCCUUUACUAGCAGGUGAGUCCCCAUCCUUGGGUUCACUCGAUGCUGAAUCCUACUCCCAACUGAAUAGAAACUAAACUAAUUUCUAAACUGUUCUAGGCUAGACUGAACUAUUACUGAUCGUGUUAACUGGCUAAACUGGACUGAGUUCACUGAGUACUGUAAUAGAUUGAGUGUUCUGAGUUCUAUUUGCUGACUGGAUAUACUGAGUUCUGUACUUACUAAAUGCUAUUAUACGUGAUAUAACUGACACUAUUUUGAAGCUACUGUAAGUUUAGGUAAACAGCUAGAUUGUUGGGUAUUAGAUACACCUAGGACUCGAUAACAUGAAAAGUAAAGCAUAAUAUGAUCUUGAAAAGCAUUACAAUGUUCAUAACUCAUUUAUAGAGAUAUUUUAUGAAACACUUCCAAGAUAUAAGCUUGUACAUAUGCUAACAUGUCAUGAUUUCCCCAUUUAAUCCACAUGAACAAUUUAUCAAACACUUGGGGAACAUAAUCUAUGCACAUAAUACUAAUCAACAUGUAGGCAUUAUGAUUUCCAAUCCCAACUUACUUCAAGGGAUUUAACAUGAAUUCACAUAAUACUACACAUAUGUCCAGUAAAUUUCCAUGGAUCUUGUAAUAAAUCAUGAAUUAGAAACCCAAUUAACAUCAUAAUCAUGAAUACAUUCAAGCCCAACAUGGAAUUCAUAAAUUCAAUAAACUUGAAGUUUUAAAAGAGGUUCUUGAACUCCAAGGGUGGAAAGAAACCCUUGGAUGAACACCUAGUAUACCUUGGUUGUUAAUUCUCUGUAAGUUGUGAAGAAUUUUUUAAAGCUUGAAUCUUGAAUUGGAAGCCCUAGAGUUUUGUUUCUUGAGUAAUUUUGAGAAUAAUAGGAUCGCCAACUUAUGAAGGCUAAAAUACUUCUAAGUAUAAAUACUUAGUUAAAAUUUUUAAGUCUAGGACCUGUUUUCAAGCUUUAACGGACUAAGUUUAGCUUAGAAUUUUGCGGGGUCUUAUAGAAGAUUAUUAAAAAAGAAAGAAAAAAUCUAAUACUACUCAACAAAGAAGCAAAAAAAGAAAGAAUAAAAUAUGAUUUAUAUUUUAUAUUCGUAGUUUUAAGUAGUUUUUUAUUUUCUAAGUUAUUUGAUAAAUUUGAAUUGUACGUGCAGAAUUUUAUGAUUUUAUUUUUAUGUAUGUAAUCAAUAAGUCAAGUAGAUCAUUAUUUCAAUAUGUGAUAAUACAUAUCAAUAAUUUUUUUAAUUUUCUCACUAUUUUUCAUCUCUCAUUUUGAUUCUGAUCAUGUUCCAUUUGUAGAUAGAUGUUCAGAUGUUAAAAAUAUUAUUAAAGAUAAAAGAGCUUAAUUGCUCUUUCAUUAUAUGAAAACAUUUCAUCAAUGAAGGUAAAUGUUCUACGUCAGUAAUUUAUUUAUAUGCUUUAUAGAAAGCUUAUGUAUUCAUCAGUGAAAGAAUUUAUUUAUUUCUAAAUUAAAAAAUUCAUUUAGCCGAUGAACUUUAGUAUCUAUUUUCAAAUAUAUGAUUUAUGUUAAUUGCCCAAAUAGGUUAGAUUAUUCUUUAUAUUUUUUUGAAUGUUUUUAAUCUCUCUAAAAUUAUCUUAUCUAUAUUUUAUUUUAAUUUUCUCUAUGUAACUAAAUAUAUUAUUUUGAUAUAUUGUCUUUGUGUUUGUACGUUCAUUGAUAAGUUUGUUGUUGUAACACCCCGCAUUUUGAGCUAGAAAGCGAACCGUCAUUCCUACGUGCAUACGCUCUAAUUUCAUGGUUUAUAUUUAAAUCCAUGUGUCAUGAUCCUUCUCCUAGUGUAUUAAGUAAUUAUGAGGUGAAAAGUGUUCAUAAAAAUCACUUGGAACAAAGUUGAGCUAAGAGUCUUUCAUUCAUCCAAAGUUUGAUAUUCGAUUCUACAAGGAUCUAGUUUGAACGUGUAUAACUUUCGAUACACAUGGAAUUUUGCAGCUCAAGUCUCGUAUAUAAUUGAAUUAGCUUUCCAACGAUACCAAUUUUUUCAAAAUCUGAUAACUAAAGAAAAAGUUAUGGUAUUUUCUAUGUGAGGCAGUAAGCUGAUGCGAUCUUGACGCGUUACGUCGACUGCACCCCAACACGAAACCUGACGUGAAUCUAAAGUGGUUUUAUGGGUUAUUUUAAUUCCUAAAGGGUCUAGGGUCAGUUUAGUCAUAUUCCCUCACCCAAAUUCCAUCCCUAAUCAUCCUUAAAUGACAUUAAGCCUAUUAGUAACGUUUUACUCUCUCUUAAGAUCCCUAAUUCAUCUUUCAAGAACACAAGAGGAGAAAACAACAAGGGUUUUGGCAAUCAAGCUUAAAGGUCCAAUUUUUUUUCAAAAUUUCUUCAUAAUCCUUCACAAUUAAGGUACAUAGGAUUUUCCUAAACUACAUGGGCAUGGGGAAAACACUUUUAAUGGUGUUUUGAAUGUUGAGAAAUCAUGAAUUUGCAAUGGGUUUUGAAUUAAAAAUACAACUGUACAUUGUGAAUCCUUUUGAUCUAUUGUUUUGAUCUUGAGGCCUUCCCUUAAAGAAAAUUAAUUUCAUUUAUGUAUAUACGUAUGUAUGCAUCUAUAGUUGAUAAUUUAAUUUAGAGCAUGACUAAUUACAAUCCCUCUCAUGUUGCAACACCUUUAGAUUUUUGCAUGUUACGAAUUGAAGAAUGUUAUAUUUAGAAGCAUGGUAUCAAUGUUCUUAACUAUUGCUGAAUGAUUUGAGAUUGAUUUUAAAUUGAUGAGUGGGGGGUUUACAUGUUGAAAAAUGUUGAAGAUAUAUAAUGAAAGAAUUGCAUGGUUUGUCAAAAAUACAUGACCACUACAUGUUUGUUGAAAUGUUGAAAAUAGAGGUUCUUUGAAUAAUUUGACAUAUGUUUUGAAGUAUGAGUCUUCUUGAAUGGUUUGGAGUAUGGUGGUCUGAACUUUAUGUUUUGAAAGAAGAGAUUAUAAUACAAUAUUUUAUGGAUUUGAGAUUCGACUUGCAAGUCAAUGGUAUGACGAUACCAUAUAAUUGAAUGCCAUAACAGAGUAAGAGUUUUAGACUUGAUUUUAGAGAAUACAUGUCUUCAAGAGCUAAAAAUGGGCUUAAAGAGGGUUAGGUGGUGUUUCAAAGAAGGCUUGAGUUUAAAUAACUCUAGCCCAAAAUCGUGUUUUGUCGAUACUGGUUCACUAUGUCCCCAAGAGGGACCAUAGGCCGGCUUAGAACCCUAUGACAUAUUAAAGACAGAGACUCCAACCCUUGCAGAAAACUCGGGUUGGGGGCUUGGCUGCCGAGUUAAGGGCAAAUUCUAUAUAGCCCGUGGGAUUUCAGAAUUGUAGGGUAUUCCACCUAGCUCAGAAGUAAGAUAAAGAGUGAGUCAUGGAUUUCAGAUUAUUGUUCAGAGUCUUUUAAAUAUGCCCAUAUGUUUUUCAUAUAUCUUAUAUAAAACUAUUUAUAAAUUGCUCUCACUUAUGCUAUAUAAAAAUACAUUAUUUUGGAUUGCUAUGCGUACCGGUACAUCUAUAUUGACCCCCUGUAUUCUUAGCUUCUGAGACAUAGUCCUGGGGCCCCAUUAAGCAGUAGAUUGAUUUGUCAGAAGUUUGCAACUGGUGAACCUCCCUUACUUCAAAAGGCUUUGUUAUGAAACUUGUUACUGUUAUUUUAUUUUGAUUCAUAGUCCAACUGGGGGCCUUGUCCCAAAUUUCAGACAGAUGUCAUUUUCAUUUAGUAGAGAUUUCACAGACUAGUGUUAGAUGUUGUUAAUAUUUAUGAACUCAUUUUAGUAUUGAGUAGUUUGAAAUAAGAGUUGACCAUGAUUCCAUUUUGUUAUAUAAAAGCUAGUGACCUAUUUCUGUGUUGUGUUGUUUUUUAUGCUAAUUUUCUACAUUAUAUGAAUAUUGUGCAUGAUUAUCGAUUAGAGAAGGGGCGUUUGAGCCUUCAUUAUUUAGGAUUCUUGUUACGGAAAGGGACUCAGCUUGGGUCAUAAAAACAUGGUAUCAGAGCACGGUUCAUGGUCCCAGAGUGUUUACAAAAUCGUGUCUAGUAGAGUCUUGCUUAUGGGUAUGUUGUGACUACACUUAUAAUUAGAAGGCUACCAGACAUUUAGGAGUUGUUUCUUAUACUUUCAUACUUUAGUUCGUGCUAUAGAGUCAUCCAUAAGAAAGUUAUCCAAGUUCCUUACUCGUUCUAAUUUCAUGGGUUAGGCCUUAUUGAUGAGGUAAUACAAGUCUAAGAGUCUAGCCUCCCCAGCUAUGUAGUUCUCCUUGAUUGAGUUAUCCAUAAAGUUAUGAAAUUGCACAAGGAGUUGAGAAGAGUCCAUAAGUGCUUUAAAGUUUACAGAUUUAAGCUUAUACUCCCUAUCCACAUCAAUCGUGUAUUUGAGCUUGAGGUAUAAAGUAUGUUCAACCCCUUUUCUAAAGCCCUUGUUGCAAAUGUCAUGUAUAAGGGUAAUGAUGUGUAGUAUAAUGUUAGAACUCUAUUUCCACCCGAGUAGUAGUAUAUGUUAAAGUGUCAUGAUCUAUUGGUAGUAGGAUGGUCUAUAAGUUAGUUGUAUGAAGUCACAAGUUUAAAAGUUUGAGUGGGGGUGAUUUUUGCAUAAAGAAGCUGGGUUUAGUCGCAUCACCCUUGAUUGAGGGAUAGAUUGCCUUUUUAUAGUAAGUGACUAAUGUUUUAGUAAAAUUUGUAGAUUGUAUGGUAGUCUGUGAAGGAAGUGGAUAGAUAUGAUUAUUAGUUAUACAAAAUAAGGAAGGAGCCUAGAGUAGAUGGUGAUGAUUGUUAUAUGAAUCUUUUAUAGGCUGUUAAUAGAAAGGGUUAAAAUAGCAAAUAAGUUGUAAGUAUAGACACAUUGCGAUAUAUGGAAUUUUGAAGGUAGUUGUGAUAUAUGUAUGGGUAAGUAACUAUGAUGUAAGAAAGUGGAAUAUGUUGAUAAAACUGUAAUAGGUUAUAUUAUAAGACUUAGACCGUUUAUUCUUAGUGACUUUACCCCUCCUUCCAUGAUUUUCCUUUCUCUAGUAGUUUUAAACUAGUACUUCAUAUGAGAAGGUUUAUAGUGGAUGCUGAGUUGUAAUGGUGAUGUUAUGGAGGGGUUGUGAUUGUAGGUAGUAGUUAAGUGAAAUAUUUGGGUUGAUUUCCCAAUUUGAUGGACUAGUAUAAUAUAUGGCAUGCUUUACCAGUGGUAUAUACUUAAGGAUAGACAGUAGGCUUGAACUUUAAAUGUGGGGUGUAGUGGUGAGAAUAGUAGCUCAAGAUUGAUGAUGCAUGUUUUGUGGAGUAAUUAGCAGGCCUGAUGUGAUGUGCAAAAUGACCUAGGUUGAUGAUUUAUGAAAAGUUUAAGUGGUAAUCGUGAGGUAUAUGUGUACAUGAGGACUAGUGAUAAAAUGAUGAAUUGUGGUUGAAUUAUUAAUAUGGAUAAGAGUGUGAGUUGAUAAUAAUAAGUUGAACUCUGAGGUAGCAUGUUGUUAGAUAAGGUGUGAUGUGGACGAGUGUCAAGUGUACCUAGAUUUUAUUCUUGAAUCUUGUAGUAUGGAGAAGUCUGGGAAGUAGUUGUUUGGUGCUCUUUAGAGUUGAAUUGAGGAAAAAUAGGUAGGGAUUAUGCGCCCUUGGUAUAGUCUUACGAAUUUUGUACAGUUGUAGGUUAUGUGAUUUUAAGUGUAAUGCGAGUAUACUAAGGAAUUGAAGAUAGAGUAUUAAGUGUUCAAAUGUGUGGGUGUCUAUACUCAUGAUAAUGGUAGUUGUAAGUUGAUGACCUUGGUGGUUAGAAGAUAUUACUAUUAGUGUCCCUAAAAGGAAAUGUCCUAGAAAGAAUUGUGUCUUUGUAUUAGAAAUUAUUGAGGGGAGUUUAUUUUCAUGUAUAUAUAUUGAUACCCCUUUUAUGAUGAGGAGUGUGGAUGCAUACACUCAUGAGAGUGGGAGUUGUAGAGUGAUGGCUAUAGAGGCUAGCAAAAUUUAAGAGUAGACAUUUCGAAAAGCAAGGCCUUCUGAGUAUAGUUCUUCAGGGAGAGUUUAGAGUUUAAGUAUGCAGUGAUGUCUCUUUUAUGUUAAGAGUUGUGGCUAUAGACUUGAUAAGAGAAUAUGUCUGUAAGUCUAGUAUUGUGACUUUGAUCUAAGGGGGAGAUGGGGAAUUAAGUGAGUUCUCGAAUGUUCUCAAUGUGGCAAGUUGCGGGGAGGAAUCGUGAUAAAUUUAUUCUUACUCAAUCAUACUCCCCCUACUUCUAUUUAGGAGAUUAUUCUACUAAUGUCCUACGUCAUGCCUAUGCCUAUGGUUUGAUUUCUCUAUGGACUUAUGUUUAUGAUCUUACCUCCAAACUAGAAGCAAUUAUAUCUCUCAGUAUUCCAUUCUUUCAUGUAUUUAAGCCAUAUGUUGGGUUGUCCUUGAUCCAUGAAAAUCUAUGUCUCUCAGCAUGCUUGGUUCUAAGAAAAUAUGUUUCUAUAUGUCACCGAUUCAUUCUACGUUGGGUUUAGCCAAAGUGAUAAAGUUUAUGCAAACUCAUGGCUAAUCUCAGUUCCUUAAAUAAGGAGCAAUCGCUUCAAGCGAAAAUCUUUGUUUUAGUUGUAAUGUAACACCCCGUAGCACUCUUGACUUAAUACCACUCUUGGUUGCAUGUAUGGAGAGCUGACAACCUAAAUUUUUUUUCUAAUUGUUAAAAGACUUAGUCAUAUUUUUGAGCUAUUAACUUUCAAACUUUUUGGCUAAUCUCAGGGGUGUUGUAAUACCCCACCUUUCUCCUAGUUCAAAUUUAUCUCUAGAACAUAAUAUAUGUUGCUUCAAAGAUGAAUAUAUUUUAUUCCAUGUGAAAUUUUUAAGAUUUUGACUUUUUAUCCCGUGGGAAAUCGAAUAAUCUUUCCAUCGAUACCAAAUUCGCCCUAAUCCGACACUCAGGCGAAGAGUUAGAGCCAAUUUAGUGAGACAGUGUACCACCUGGUACUUUAGCGCAUUGUGGAGCAAGCCAAAAUGGAAAUUGUCAAAAUCCAGUAAGCCUCCGUGAUUCCACCGCGUCACGGUGGCUUUCCAGUUCGCAACCAAGGUUGCAACGCAAUUUCCACCGCGUCGCGCCAAUGCUCAGUUUCCCAAUUGUCCAAUUUCCAGUAAGCUGGCGUGAUGUGGUGGAAAUUGCGUUGCCACCUUGGUUGCAAAUUGGAAAGUCACGGCAAUGCGGUGGACUUGUGGAGGCUUACUGGAUUUUGACAAUUGCCUUUUUGGCUUGCUCCGUGACGCGCUAAAGUACCAGGUGGUACACUGUCUCACUAAAUUAGCUCUAACUUUUCGCUCGAGUGUCAAAUCUGGGCGAAUUUCGAUGGAAAGCUUAUUCGAUUUCCCACGGGAUAAAAUGUCAAAAUAUUAAAAGUUUUACAUGGAAUAAAAUAUAUUCAUCUUUGAAGAAAUAUCUGUAAUGUUUUAGAGACAAAUUUGAACUAGGAGAAGGGUGGGGUAUUACAAUAUCUCCCCUUGGGAACAUCCGUCCUCGAAUGAGACUGAUUAAGCUGAGAAUACUAGUAGGAUGAACUUACUUGCUGGACAUGAAUAUGAUAAAUAUGACUAUAUGACUAGAACUACUGAUAUACUGAGAUUUUAUACUGAACAUACAUAUCUGAUGCAUGGAAUACACUACUGAAGCUACUCAUAAGCUGAAUUCUCAUAAUGGACAUGCAUAUCUGAUGCAUGGAUUCUUGACUGAGUUGUUCUCGUGAAUGAAUGACUGAAUACAUUGAUAAGCUGAGCUUUUCUACUGAACAUACAUAUCUAAUGCAUGAAUAUAUAUUUGAUUCUUGAAUUCAUGACUGAGUAUGCAAUAAUAGCUGGUGCUAACUUCAUAAGGAGAGUUUCAACAUGUAACUAAAUAAGUCUAAGGACAUGAAAUCAUCGGGAUAUUAUGGGGUAUAUCCCCCUUGGGACUUUAUGUCCCUUUAAAAACACUUCGCUGAAAUACUGGGGCGGUGUACGGGGCACCUACAAAUUGGGUCAUGAUUGAUCAUCUGAGAUCUGAAACUAAUGCAUGACUCAUGAACUGAGUUAUACUCAAAACUACUAGGAUACUCUAUCUUGGAAUAGUUACAUUCCCUGAGAUUUUAGAUAACAUGACUAGAUGGAAAGAUGAGAAAACAAACUACACAGAUCUGACUAUCUGACUGCUAAACUGACUUGCUGGCUUUACUGACUACAUCAUGCUGAAACUUAUACUUAACUGACGUAAUUCUUCUGCACUCUUUCAACUAUACUCUCCUCUUUAGCUUUAAGUCAUCACCAUAAGUCUGAGAACACUUUACUAAACUCUGAACUGAGCUACAAUCAAUCUACUCUAGAGUUUGGGGCAUAAUAAUGCACAUGAAUGAUACAAUUAUUGGGAAAGUCUGCACCUGAAAGUAUAAAACUCGCUGCUAAUACUAUAUUCUAGAAUACAACUCUUAACAUUCUUUAGUUUCUGCCAUCAUCAUCAUAUACCUACACCCCUUUCCGACACAUGCUUAUCUCACUAAACACAUCAUCUGCUUCUGUUCCUUCAUCAACUACUAGGAUCACACCUUCUAACUCACAUCCAUACCUUCAUACUUAGUUUUCAAUCAAUAACAUUAAAUUCUCGUAUGCAUUGUUCAAGCGUACUGAUUUACCUCUUAUAAAACUAUCCCCAUGAAUACAUAAUCUUCUCGAUAUGUUUAAUGCUAUCCCAAAUCUAAUACUACUAAACUCCUGAGUUCAUGCUUCUAACUCUAGGUCAUAUGAUAUCAUACAAUUCUGAGAAAGGAUCUGAUGGAAUACCACUGAGCAUGUGGGCGAUCCCAUAACUGUCUAUAGGGACGGUCUGACAAAGCCCUAUCUCUAGGACUUUGAGCUUACUGUCUCUAUUACCUCGAAGGUAAGGUGGAGUUGACAUGAAUGGAGCAUGCUGGGAAUCUACAUAACUUUCUUAAAGGACCUUUCUAUAGCACGAUCUGAGACAUGAAAGAAGGGAAACUUAUCCUAAAACAUCUUAUAGCCUCCUGUACAUAAAUGUGGAGCGUAAUACAACCAUGCACACGACUCUACUAGAUGCGGCUUUUCAGACUUUCUAGGACACUAUUGAACCUUAGGCUUUGAUACCAAGUUUGUAAUGCCCUAAUUUUCUGGAAUUGGAACGCCACACGAUGCUCAUCAUCCCAAAUAACCACAAGUUAAUCCUCUACUGAUAUUUGUACCUAAGCACUACAUAAUAUAAUAUAAUAAAUGCGAAAAACUAGUGAAAACUUGCCAUAAGGUUUAAAACAUCUAAAAUACUUAAUAUUGAACACAGAAUACUAAUACAUUUAUUUGAAAAGUCUCUAAAUGUCUAAACUAUGGAGUUGAUGGGACAUGUCCCCAACUAACUCCGUCUACUGAAAAUAAACUGACUCUAAUGCCAUAAUAAAAUAAGGAUCAUCCUCGAAUGAAGAGGACUCACUACUACGUCUACUGCUGCUGACUGAGUCUGGACUGUUAAGGAUGCUCUGGAUCUCGCGCUUCAGAACCUAUGGUAUAAGAUACCAUAGCGCAAGAGAAAAGUAUGUGUCAGUACUUUGAAUGUACUGGUAUGCUAGAUGAGGUAAGGCUAAAUGCUAGGGCUUAUGAAUGAACAUAGCUUAAUUGAAUAACACGAGAGUACUGAAUGAGGACAUAUGCAUGAAUGCAUAAACUAAAACUGGAAUCAUAGUAACACUGAAUACGAACUCUAAACAUUGGUUUUUGAAUACUGACUUACUGAUGACUGAGUCUACUAGUACUGAUAUCUAAGUUUACUAAUACUGAGAGACAAAAUAACUGAGUUUACUGAUAUUGAUGUCUAAUCUUGCUGAUACUGAUACUAAUUUAUUAUAUUUGAGAUGAAGCCUAUAUAAUGGGUGACCUCUGAGUUUACUGGUAAUGAUGCUUGAUACUUGAUAAACUGAGUCUCAGAUCAAGCCUAUAUAACGGGUGAACUCUGAGUCUACUGAUAAUGAAUAUGAUUUUCUGAAUCUGAGAUCAAGCCUAUAUAAUGGGUGACCUCUGAGUCUACUGAUAAUGAAUAUGAUUGUCUGAAUCUGAGAUCAAGCCUAUAUAACGGGUGACCUCUAAGUCUACUAAUAAUGAAUAUGAUUGUGUGAAUCUGAGAACAAGCCUAUAUAACGGGUGACCUCUAAGUCUACUGAUAAUGAAUAUGAUUGUCAGAAUCUGAGAUCAAGCCUAUAUAACGGGUGAUCUCUGAGAGGUAGUCAAGCCUAGUAUAACGGGCGACUCCUCAGCUGGAUUCUUUUACUGAGACAGAAUAUGAAACUAAGACUGCGGGAGGUAGUCAUCUAACCGAUAUGCCCCUCCUCACUUCUUUGGGAUCCAAUCGGUAACCCCAGUUGGAAGGGUGUCAGUACCAUGCCACAGGUAUAGAUAUUUCUCUCUAAACCCAGGAUGCCAUGCCUAAUAUAAUGAGUGACACCUGGUUGGAGCCAAGCCUAAUAUAAUGGGUGACUCCGAGGAGGUAGUUAAGCCUAAUAUGAGGGGUGACUCCUCAUCUUGCGCUGGCGACACAGUUCUAGAGUACAGAGAUUGUUAUUAAUGACUCUACCUAAAAUAACGGGCAAGCCGUCAUCCCUGUCCUCGCUCGAUGCUGAAUCCUACUCCCAACUAAAUAGAUACUGAACUGAUUCCUAGACUGUUCUAGACUAAGCCAAAUUUGUUACUGGUUAUCUUGCUUGACUGAGCUAAUUGAAUUUACUUUGUUUCGUUAUUUGACGAAAUGCUACUGAAUGCUUGUUAGCUUACUGAGUUUCAUUAAAGUCUAAAAUGAAUACUGGAUACUACUGAAUAUUAUUGAAUCAGAACUGAGUACUGAGUUGGAUUAGACUGAUACUGAGACUGAAUUGAACUAGAACUGAGAUUACUGAAUUUUCUUAAGUUAUGUACUGGCUAAAUUCUACUGAUCAUAGUACAACUGAAAUUAUCUUGAGACUGACUCGGCUCUAGACAUGCAUCUAAAUUUUUGAGUAUAAAUACCCCAGUACUUGAUAGCAUAAAUAAAUAAGGCAGGACCACACUUGAGUAUCAUGACAAUGGACUUUCAUUCACAACACAAUCAAUACGAUAUCUCGUCAAUCACUUGAAUGUCAUAAACAUGUAAAUGUAUAAAGAAUGCAUACAAUACCUCAUAGUUGUUCAAUAAGGAAUACAAAUGGAUAAGAAUGCAUGCAACUUAUCAUAAUACAUUCACUAAGGCAUUUCAACAAACGCUUGGCAUGCACUAGUUAUCACAAAAUUGGGGAUUUCCUUCUUAACAUACUAAAUAGACACUAUUAUCUUUACUUAAGCAUUCUAUCAAAUAGCGGAACCAAGUACAUUCAAUCAUCUCAGUCAAGCAAGAUGACCAGUAAUAGAUUCAACUCAAACUAGAAUAGUCUAGGAAUUAGUUUAGUGUCUAAUCAGUUGGGAGUAGGAUUCAGCAACGAGCAAGGGCAGGGAUGACGACUUCCCCAUUAUUUUAGGCAGAGUUGUUAAUAACAAUCCCUACACUCUAGAAUUGCAUAGCUAGCGCAGGAUGAGGAGUCACCCAUUAAAUUAGUCUUGACUACCUCCCUGGAGUCACCCGUUAUAUUAGGCUUGGAACUGACUGAGUUCUACUGAGUUUUAUAUCUAACUGAGAGUACUACUGAUUGUGAAAAGACUGAUACUACUCUGUAACAGACACUGACUCUAAAUAAACAGCUAAUUUAUUGGGUAUUAAAUAUCCCUAAGACUCGAUAGCAUGAAAAGUGAAGCAUCACAUGAUCUUGUAAAGCGUAACAAUGUAUACAUGUUCAUAAUUCAUCUAUAGAAAUAUUUCAUCAAACACUUGUAGGGCACAUGCUUGUACAUAUACUAACAUGUCAAGAUUCUAUUACUUUACUCAUAUGGACAUUCUAUCAAACACUUGGGGAGCACAACCUAAUGCACAUAAUCAUGGAUAACAUAUAAACAUGGCAACUACAAUGCCCUAACUUGCAAUUUCAUGGGUUUAACGUGCAAUUCAUAUAAUUUCCCCCUAAAUACUAUUCUAUUUUUAUGAAUCUUAUCAUAAUCAUGGAUCGAACAGCAAAUUCACCUCCUAAACACAUUAAUCUCUUUGUAAAUUUAAGGGUUUAUCAAGAUAAUCACAUAUUCAUUACAAAUGCUAUUCAAUUUCAUGAAACUUGCACUUAAAUCAUGGAUUGGCGCCCAACUAAUAUCACAGACAUGAAUUCAAUAUAAUUCCAACAUGAAAAUCAUAAAUCAUAACUCUUGAAGUUUAAAAAAAAUGGAUUCUUGGACUCUAUGGGUGGAAGGGACCCAUAGAUGAACACCUAACAUACCUUAAUUGUGAGUUUCUUGAAGUUCUUGGUGAAUCCUUGAGCUUUGUUCUUUAUGUCUUGAGAGCUAGGGUUUUGCUAGUUUGAGAGAGAAUGGUUUUAAUUUAGGGAUGAAUUGAAUAAUGAGUAGCUAAGGACAUUUUAGGGAUUAAAUCCCAUAUCUGGGCAUAAUAAGAUCGUGGGAAAAGACUGUUUUAACCCUAGGCGUCCUUUUUAUUUUUUGUAAAAAUUUUCCAAACUGGGCCCUUGGCGUGACGUGCCACUAUCGCGGAGACUCAUUGGUUUUUGACAAUUGCCAUUUUGUCUGGCUCCGUGAUGCACUGAUGGCUCAGGUGGCACCUUGUCAUACUAAAAUGGCCAUAACACUUCGCUCGGGUGUCGGAUUUGAGCAAAUUUUAUAUAGUUAGAAAGACAGUUCAAUUUCUUAUGCAAUGGAUUCCUUUAAACUAAAAAAUAUUGAGUGUUUUAAAAAUCUUAUAUAAGAUUACUCACGUAAUGAGAGUAAAUUUAGGCUAGAGAAAUACGAGGUAUUACAAAAAUUAAGGGAGAUAUGAUAGAACAAGUAACCAAGUCAAGCUCUCAAAUUCUAGUAGGAAGGAAGAUGCGCAACCUAUUCUCAUCUCAGUGUAAGGUUUUCCAUUAUAACGAUAUCUACUCAUGCCUUAUAUGCCAUCUCUAUGAUCAUAGUUCAUGUUCACGCACAUAAUAGAGAAUUAUGUACUCUCCCAGUUCCUAGUAUGGGGAGUUUCAGUUCACUCAGCAGUACAGACCAUGUUCCAUAAAAUUAUGAAUUCUAAACUCAAAUCAUGUAGCUCAUGAAUCACGUACCCAUGCUUUACAGUAUGCUCAGUUCUAGGUACUCAUGCUACACUCUUAAUGACCAGCGAAAUUCUGAUUUUAGUCAUGUAUAUCCUCAAUUUUGAUUGCUAUAACGAAUCCAUGUCAUGGAUACUCUAUUCCUCGAGCCUCAUUAAAGCGUCUAGUUAGGCUUAGUAUCGCUUCACGUUUCAGGUUCUCAGAUUCUAACCUUUCAGUGACCUUUUUUUAUGUCAAAAUAAUGAUGAUGAACAAUUGUUUAGAUGGGAGAGUAUAAAUGUUUCUUAUUGAUGAAAGAUCAUUGUACAAUUGUUUUAGCUAAGGCUAUAAGUGUGAAGUAAGAUUGAGGCCAAAUCUUUUAUGCAUGCCAUGGUUAGUUGAAAUUUUUAUGUUUAUGUUCUUGGAGUAGUGCAUAGAAGUUGUUAAUGAUAGAGGUUUGGAGGAUUGGAUAAAGAAGCUAUUAUGGGUGUUUGCUUAGACGUUCAUAUGUGGUUACAAUAAUAGGCUAGAAUAUCAUGUUGGUGUAUAAGGGGAUGAAUGCAUUGCAUGCUAGUUUCCAACCUUCUCAGCCUUAGAAUAUAAAUUUUUAGGUUUAUACAUGAUCAGGGUUGUCCAUAGCACAUAGGGUAAGUUUUAGAAUUUUUUGACGAGGUUUGAGACCUGUUUGGAUGGUCAAAACAAUGAGGCAACAAGAUAUGGCCACGACAUAUUGCAUAUCGAGUUGGUAGGGAGCAGUGAGAUACGAUGCAUAUCGCGUCAUUAGAGCAAUACAACGCGCCACUUAUCUUAUCGGUAGUUCAGUUCAGUAAUGGUGUUAUAUGUAGUACCCCAUGAUUUUGAGUUAGGGUUGAAUGUGGCGAGAGUAUGUAGUUCAACUCGGAUUUCAGUCUAGAGUGGUUAUAUGUAUCCAUGUGAGAAUUAUUAGUUGAAUCAAAUGAGAAUAGUAUUUAAGGGAAAAGUAUAGUUAAGGGAGUAUUUUAGAAGUGUGUCUGAGCUUUGAAAGUUAGUCGUUGUAUUGCCUAAGGACUAGAAAUUCUAUCUUACCUUAUGUGUCAUAGGCCUACAUUUCACGUCAUAAAGUUGUAGUCAUGUUGUGGUUCCUUAUUUAGAUAUCUUGUCCAGAUCAUGCCCCAGAUUCUUUGCUCCCUAAUAUUAAUAUAACUUCUUUAGGAAGAGUGUUGAAGAGAUACUCCAGUUAAGUAUAAGUUUCCAGUAUAAUUCAGUUCAUAUAGCCAAUAAUUCAGUAUAGCAGUCAGACAAACAAGUCCCUAUGGUUUUCCAUCUUUCCACCCAGUCCUACUAUCCAAAGUCUCAUAUGUAUGGCCAUUCCAAGAGAUAAUCUAUUUGCAUCCAUGUAAAUUGAUAAUUCAAUUUAGUCCAAGCAUCAUGUUUUAGAUUCAUCUAGUUAGUCAUAAAUCAGUUCAUAAGUGUUCAAUGCAUAAUCUCAGUUUUCCAAGUAUUCCAACUCAGAUAGUGUAAUACCCCUAGUACGAUAUUAGUUUCAUUGUCUAAUGAUUCGUUCUUGCAUAAGUUAUCACUUCGCAGUUCCAUAUGUAUGAUUGUAUCAUGGACACUUUAAGCAAGUUCUAAACUCUCAGCAUGAAUCAUCUUCUUAUAGUAAGUAAAGUUAAGUCAGCUCAGAAAUCAGUUUCAUGAUGAAAGUUUUAAUUUUUCAACUCAAUUAUAUCCUUUCUUAGUAGACACAUCAUGUCUACAUUAUUCCAUACUUCUAAGACUUCAAAAAAAGGGUUCCUAUCUAUUAUUUGAGGACGAAUGAUUCCAAGGGGGAUAUAAUGUAACACCCCCCAUUUUUUAGCUAGAAAUCGAACACACGUUCCAACGUGUGUAAACUCUGAUCCCAUAAUUUAUAUUUUAAUUCACGUGUCAUAUUUUUAUCCUUUUUUUUGAAGUGCUUUCUAGGUGAAAAUAUUCAUAGGAAUCAUUUAGAGCAAAGUUGAGCUAAGAGCCUUUGAUUUGGCAAAAUCUUUGUAUUCGAUUCUAUAAGGGACUACUUUGACCAUGUAUAACUUUUGAUACAUGUAGAAUUUUAUAGCUCAAGACCCACCAAAUUAUAGAUAAUUGAGUUAGAUUUCCAACGACACCAAUUUUGUCUUAAUUCGAAACCCGAGUAAAAAGUUAUGGCAUUUUUUAUGAGAGGUAGUAUGCCAACGCGAUUGGGACAUGACGUGCCAAUCUAUCAACACAAUAAUCGACGUGAUACAUUGCUGUCCCUAAUGCGAUACAGAGCUAUUUCACACGUUGCUUCAGUUCCUAAAGGGUCUAGGGUCACUUUGGUCAAUUUCCCCCACUCAAAACCGUCCAUAACACAUAAUUUCAAUCUCCAAAAGCAUUAGAUACAUUAUUAUUCAUCCUUUUUUCUCCAAGAAAACCCUAGCCCCUCAAGUACACCAAGAACUUCAUCAAAUUUUCUUCAAGAAAAGCAAGAAUCCAAGCUUCCUAAUUCAAGCACUUCAAGAAGAAGCUUCAAGAACACCAUUAGAGAUUCAAAAUUCAAACUUUUACAUCAAAUUAAUCAAAAAGGUAUGUGGGGUUAUGAAAAAGGAUACUUCUUUUAUCCUUAUGCCCAAACUAGUUUUUAAAGUUGAAUUUACAUGAGUUCGAUUUAGGGUUCAUACCCAAUUAUCAUUGUUUGAAGCUUAUGAUGUUACAAGUGAUUUAAGUGUUAAAUUGCAUAACUACUUUCACAAAUUCAUGCGUGUGAUUUGAUUUCAUAUAUUGAGAAUUGAAUUUCUUUGUCUUGAUUAGAAUUGUUAAAGUAUUUUAAGAUUAUUGUUAUUAGCGUGAAGUUGUUGUGAUUUGACAUGAGUUUCAAGAAUGGGUUUGAAGCCCCAAGUUUAAAUAUUGAUAUUUCAAGAAAGAUCAUGCUUAAGCUUUCUUUAAUAAGUAUGUAUUCAUAUUUUAAGUAAUAUUUGAUCUUUUGAUCCUCAGCUAAGAUAUGGAAUCCACACAGAUUAGUUUUGAUUACAGUUUAAAAAAGAUUGAUGUAUAAUUGAUUUUCAUUAUAAACCCUUAUGCUAUUUUAAGAUGGAUUUCCUAUAGAAUGAGCAUACAAAUUAAAAGGAGUAGUAUUUAGCACCGAGUUGGGUAUGUGUCCUACUUCACAUGCCCCAGAACUAUGAUCCAAUGUAGGUACAAAUUUAGAUUAUUCCCAUUUAUAUGGAUGCCGAUAAAGAUUAUGAUCACUCAGCUCAGGUUAUACUCCUUGGCAAGAAUAUGACACCUCUUUCCAACAUGAAGUUUUAUCCUUAGGGUAACUAGACGUUAGGCUCCAUGAUAUCUCAAAUGAUAUAUGUCGGUUAAAAGAACCUCCCUAACAAAAAAGAAUAACAAAAAAAAAUUAAUAGAAAAUCCCUAAUUCCUAAGUCCUAAGAAAGAAUAAAAGAACAAAUUUUAGAAGUUAACUGUAAAGGCUCAUAAUUUUACUCAAAUAUUAUUUUAUGUAAGACAUUAGCUAUGAGAUUUUCAGCUUUUAGUUUAUAGAUGAUAAACGUGAGUCCUUUUACACUUAGCUUGCAUGAUUUGAAAACAGACUUGACUCCAGUCCUACUUAUUCCACUAAUAUAAAGAGUAAAAGUACAACUUUUAGAACUAAGUGUUAUUGCUCACAAGAUUUAUAUAGUAUUCUUUAUUAUUCAUGAUUCAUGGUUUUGAGCUUUCAGUUAUUCAAGCCAAUGUGAGUCAUUUACACUUAGCAUACAUUCUUUAUUAGUUAUAUGCAAAAUUAGUUACAGUUUUUACUUAUGCAUUCACCCCUACACGCUCAGUACAUUCCCAAAGUACUGAUCCACAUAUAUGUUUAUAUGUUACAUUGUUUAACAAUGUAGGUACCAGUGGUAGCCCAUACAUCAUAAUCAGACAAUGUGCAACUUUUAUUCAAUAGGUGAUGAGUCCUUUUAAUUCAAGGGCUCGAGUCAGUCAACGUUCGAGUAGUAUCUUAUGUUCUUUAUUCAUUCGUAUUGAUUAAGGAUAGUUGGGGGUCAUGUCUCGACUACCUACAGUCAAUACUAGAAGAGACUUCAUAGACUGUCAGUAGAAGUUAAUGUAUUUGAUUCCAGUUUUGUCUUGUAUAAUCAGAGUUGUAAUUAUUUUCAUAUAGUUUGUUUUGAUCAUAUUUAGAAAAGAUGUAUCUUCCACUUAUUUCUUUUAGACUUAUGUAUUUUAUUCAGUUGCUCACAAGUUAUGCCAGUACAAGGGUUAUCUUGGGAUCACUUGUUGUCCUAAGCAUCAUGUGACAACUAGGGGUAGUCUUGAGUCAUUACAGUUCCCUAUGAACUUUCCUGGUAUGCUUCUGUAUUGAGAUAUGGAUUUCGCUAUUGAUGUUUAGACGAGUACCCACCCAUUUCUAUUUCUUCUUAUAAGAUAUCCCCAAUAAAGUUGAAGGAACUAAAGAAUCAAUUAUAGGAGUUGUCAGAUAAGAGAUUUAUCCAACCUAGUAUUUCACCUUGGGGUGUGCCUGUCUUGUUUGUGAAGAAAAGGAUGGGUCUAUAUGGAUGCGUAUUAAUUAUCGACAGUUAAAUAAGGUGACGGUUAAGAAUAAGUAUCUUCUUCCUCACAUUGAUGAUUUAUUUGAUCAGCUUUAGGGUGUUGCUAUGUUUUUGAAGCUUGAUUUAAGGUUUGGUUAUCACCAGUUGUGGAUUCGAGCUUUGGAUAUUUCAAAAACAACUUUUUGAACUCAAUAUGUUCAUUAUGAGUUCUUGGUCAUGUCCUUCAUAUUGACCAAUGCCCCUGCCAUGUUUAUGGAGUGGAUAAACUAGGAGUCUUGACCAUAUCUUGACUCUUUUGCUAUUGUAUUAAAGAUGAUAUCUUAGUUUAUUUCAAGAGUGAGGUUGGGCAUGAGAAGUAUUUGUAGAUCGUGCUUCAGAGAUUGAGGAAUGAGAAAUUAUAUGCUAAGUUCUCUAAGUGCGAAUUUUAGUUGGAGUCUAUUUCUUUCUUGGGUCAUGUGGUGACUAAGAAAGGUAUUAUGGUUGAUCCAUCCAAGAUUGUCAUGGCUCAUGGUUGGGUUAGAGCUACAUUGCCCACUGAGAUUCAGAGUUUUAUUGGCUUAGCAGGCUAUUGUUAGUAUUUUUUAAGGGUUUCUUUUCUAUUGCAGCUCCAUUAACCAAGUUGACCCAGAAGAAAAUUUCUUUUAAGUGGUCUGAUGCUUCUAAGAUGAGCUUUCAAAAGCUCAAGGAUUUGUUGACUUCAGAUCCUAUCUUAACUUUGCCAAGAGAGGGCAUGGGUUUUACCAUCUUUUAUGAUACUUCAGGUUUUGGGUUAGGUAUUGUGUUGAUGUAGAAGGGCAAGGUGAUUGCUUAUAUGAUUCAUCAGUUGAAACCUCAUGAGAGGAAUUAUCCUACCCAUGAUUUGGAGUUAUGUGCAGUGGUGUUUGACUUGUAGUCAUGGAGGCUCUACUUGUAUAGAGUCUGUUGUAAGAUUUUCUCAGAUAAUCAUAGCCUUUUGUACUUUUUCACCCAACAAGAUCUUAAUAUGAGGCAGUGUUAUUUUCUUGAGUUGCUUAAGGAUUAUGAUUUAACUAUUCUCUACCAUCCGAGCAAGGCUAAUUUAGUUGUAGAUAACUUGAGCUGAAAGUUGACUAGCAUGAGUAACUUAACGUAUCUUUUGACCCAGGAGAUGCCUUUGGACUUAGAGGUUUAGUCUUUAGCUAACCAGAUGACUAGGCUUGAUAUUUCUACACCUGGGCAUAUUUUGGCAUUUAUGGAGGCUAUAUCUUUUGAGAUGGAGUAGAUUUGAGCUCAUCAGUUUGAUAAUGAUGGAUUGAGGAUGAUUCAAGAUAAGGUAUUGAGCCGGGAGGCUAAUGAAGCCUCACUUGAUUUAGAUGGAGUUUUGAGGAUUGGGGGUCGAGUUUGUGUGCUGAGAGUGGGUGAUUGGAUUAGGUAGAUCUUGGACGAGGCCCAUUGUUCCAGAUAUUCUAUCCAUCUAGAUGUUACUAAAAUGUAUCAUGAUUUGAGGAAGCAUUACUGGUGGGGUGGUAUGAGGCAAGAUAUGGCGGAUUUUGUGGCUCGUUGCCUAAGUUAUCAGCAUGUGAAGGCCGAGCAUAUAAGGCCUGGUAGGUUGCUUCAGAGGUUACCCAUUCUCGCGUGGAAGUGGGAACAAAUCACCAUGAACUUUAUGACUGGUUUGCCUUGUACAUCUCAUGGUUCUGACAGUGUUUGGGUCAUCGUGGAUCGAUUGACCAAGUCAUCUCAUUUUAUUUUGGUUCAGGUCUCAUUCAUUGCUGAGAGGUUGGCCCGUAUCUACAUUCAUGAGAUUGUGUAUCUGCAUGGUGUGCCAGUAUCCAUUAUUUUGGAUUGAGGUUCUGUGUUCACAUCUCACUUUUGGAAGACUUUUUAGAAUGGGUUAGAUACUCAGGUUGAUCUUAGCAUAGAGUUUUACCCCAGAAUAUUGGACAAUCAGAGCGGACUAUCCAGGUUUUGAAGGAUAUACUCCACACAUGCGUGAUGGAUUUUGGUGGCCAGUGGGAAUAAUAUUUGGCUUUAGCAGAGAUUGUAUAUAAUAAUGGUUACCAUUUUAGUAUUGAUAUGGCUCCUUUUGAGGCAUUGUAUAAUAGGCAUUGUCACUCCCCAGUGGGUUGGUUUGAUGUUUCAUAGGUAAGACCUCGAGGUACGAACUUACUUCUUGAGUCUUUGGAUAGAGUUGGGGUCAUUUAGGAUAGACUUAGAGUGGAUCGCAGUAGGCAGAAGUGUUAUGCUGAUCGUAGACUCGUGCCUUGAGAUUUGGUGUUGGUGAUCAUGUUUUUCUUCGAGUUUUACCCAUGAAAGAUGUGAUGAGGUUUAGGAAGAAAGGCAAGCUUAGCCCCAGGUAUAUCAACCUAUUUGAGAUUCUUCAAACUGUUGGUGAUGUCACUUAUAAGUUAGCUUUGCCCCCUGAUCUAUCAACUGUUCAUCUAGUUUUUCAUAUUUCUAUGCUUCGUUGCUAUAUUCCUGACGAGUUUCAUGUCAUUCAUUAGGAGUCGAUUCAGUUUGAUGAGUGUUUGUCCUUUGUUGAGGAGCUGAUCUCCAUUUUAGCUAGAGAUGUUAGGCGGUUGCACUAUAGAGUUAUACCUGUGGUUAAGGUUCAGUGGCGUCAUCGACCUGUAGAUGAGGUUACUUGGGAGAUUAAGUCUGAUAUAUGUAAUUCCUAUCCUAUCUUUUCAUUAAUUCGGGUAUUUCUUUGCCUUAGUUCGAGGACGAACUAGAUUUUUAGUGGUAGAUGAUGUAGCAAUCAGUUUUUUGAUGAAAUAUAUGAAUUGUGUAUUUUUUUUUUGUGAUUUGACUGUUUUACUCCUCUCUAUAGUUGCAUUGUAUUUUGAGGUAUGGGGGUGAUUAACAUGGUUCCAGAUGCAAUUUUAUACCAUUUAUGCAAUAUUAUAAUUUUUGAUGGCUUCGAGAGCCUUAUUUUAGACUUAUGUAGAUAUCUUUUGAUUUGUGUGACAGAUGGCUGAACGGACUACGCCAGCACCUCCAAAAUUUUGAUUUUAGGCUAGGUAUACCUUUGGUUCGGGUCCCGGUGCACCCGAGGUCAUUUUGACCUAUUGAUCGAAAAGUUGGAAAAUUAGAAAUAUGGUGUGGGACCCAUAUUUGAUCGAAAUGACCUUGGAUGGAAGAUUGAAAAGUUGGAAAAUUAGAAAUAUGGUGUGGGACCCACAUUUGAUCAAAAUGACCUCGGAUGGAAAAUCUGACUUCGCCAGCAGAUCUAGAACGUCGAUUUUAUGGUGGUAGCAUAUUUGGUUUGAUUUUACGGCUUUUAAAUCUCAUUUCAAUCCUCGGUUUGGAAAUUUGUGAUUUCGGGUUUCAAGGGUCAACUUUGUGAAAAGAAUAUGUUUUUCAAAAAUACAACUUCGCCAAUGCAUUUGAAACGUUGAAUUUAGUAUGGUUGCAUAGGUUGUUUUAAUAUAUCGCAACUCCGAACGAAUUUCGGGCACCCCGUCGAAGUUCAGAUUGAACUUAAAAUGAAGAAAAACAGCUUUUUAUCUAUAGAUGGUGCAGAAAAUCUGCACUAUAAAUAGAAGUUUAUUAGCCUAUUUUGCUCAUUUUUCAUUUUGUCUUUUGAGAGUUAAACCUUAAAUUAGUGUGAAAACUUAAAAGUGAAGCUUGUGGGAGCAUGGGAAACUAGAUUAACAUCUAUUUCUUGAUUCUAUUAUGGAUUUAAGGUAAGAAUUCACCCUUUUAAUAGUAAUCUCUUGAUUAAUUUCUCAAAACUCCAAAAAUCUCAGGGUUUGAUUUUAAACCCCAAUUUUGCUCCCUUUUACUUGAAUAAUAUUUUAAUCUUAUAGUUACUAGUUUUCAUCAAUUUGACCUUCAAAACAACUCCAAUUCUUGAUUUUAACCCGUAUUUCAAAGAUUUUACCUAAUAAAGCUUAAAAAUGAUUUUUCUUCGAGUUGAAUCUCAUUUUUGACUUGAUUUGACUUGAAUUUUCAGCUGUAGGUUCCUAAAAAUAUGAAAAACACAUUUUUGAAGUAAAAUUAUGAUUUUGUCCUUCGUUUUUGAAAACUCAUUUUGGGGGUCCGUUUUGACCACGAAUCAAGUAGUCAAUAUGGGUGUCAUUGAUUUUGUUUUGACGCAUAGAUUCCAUAAUCGAUAUUUUUAGUGGUGUUCAGGAUCAUUUGUGAAAAGUAAAAUCGUGGGUUCAAAGUGUAGAGGGUCAAUUUCGGCUUUAGGUAGGUUAUGGCUUAACUCUUUCAGAUUGGGUUGAGUAGUAAAUGAUGGUACAAAAUGCAUAUUAAGGGUGAGAACUAAUAAUGAAAAAUGAUUAUCUAUGUGUUGUGUCCGUGUAGGGGCCUAUAUGUAAUGUUAUUGUUGAAAUUGAGAUAUUAUGUGAUAUGUGUGACCAUGUGGAGUCCUAUGUGAUGUUGAUAGCCUUAAAUAUAUGUGAAUAAUUUUAUUGUGUUGUUGAAAUGCCUAAUGUGGUACCAUUGGUGUACUGUGAUAUAUUUAUAUUUGUUGUUAUAUGAGACAUGUGGAAAUUUAUGGAUGAAAUGAAAAUAAUGAGUGAAUAUUAGCUCACUUGGUUGUGAAAAUGUAUAAUUAUAGUUGGUUGUUAAAAUAUAUCAUUGUAUUGACUAUGAAAAUACUCAUUGUGAUUGAUUGUGAGCAUUACAUCCUCAUAUCAUACUCAUUCAUGAAACAUUGGUACCACUGUAGUAACACCUGAAUAAUACUGGAAACACCUUUUUAAACUCUCCCCGAGGGAUGUGUCGGAGAGAAGAUAUUAUAAUACUUUAUAAAACCCCUUUUGAGGGAUGUGCCAGAAAGAAAAUAUGAGAUAUAUGGAUUGUAUACGGAUUGACGAACCACCAAUGGGUCCUACGCCAGAAAGCUUUAGCUCCGUAGGUGUAUACGGAGAUUGUGUGGCGAUCCCAAAGGUUGUGUGACGACCUCGUGCAUCAUCAUCAUCAUCAUCACUAUCAUAUACAAUGCACUUACUUUAUUGUGUUUAUGUUAUGUUGUAUUGCUAUAUUGACUUGUCAUCUAUAUAUUUGUCUUACCUUCCUUUACUUGUAUUUGAUGAUCUUGUAUCUACAUGUUCUCCUGUGUUCUACUUAUAUGUGACAUAAUACAUACUUGUGUUCUAUCUUGGUGUGUUAUUGUAAUAUAUGUGAUAUAUUAGAACUCUUAGUGCAAGCGGUGUGGGAUACCAUUAUGGGACAUUUUUUAUUGUAGGUGACGUGCCUUUAGUGUGUAUUUUGUAUGCUUUAUUUUCUAUUUUAUGAUACCUAAUGAGUACAAGUGGCCUGUACUCUCUCCUACUUCACCCUUUUGGUGCAGCUUCAUGUUCGGGUGCACCUAAGAUUAGUUAAUUUUUGAGCGCCUUCAGAUUACUCAAGGUAGCAGUUUGACAUUCAUACGUCUGGAGUUCACCUCUAUCUUUCUGUGUUAGUUAUGUCUUUAUUAGUAUUCUCUAAGACCCCGCAAAAUACUUGUCGUCUAAAUCCCUUAAAUGAUGCCCAAAGAGUUCUUACACUUAGAAAAAAAAUCUAGCUAAGUGUUGGGACUUAGUCAUUUCUAGAGCCUCAAAACUUUGAGGAUUUUAUUACCAACCUUCCCGGCCUUCGAUAGUUGAUAUUUUAGCUAAUUCAUGAUUAGAAAAGUCAAUAGGUGUUUCCAGACAAGUUUUGGAAUUUUUGAUCCACGUUUAGACCACGUUUGGUGUCCCAAAAUAGUGGACCAACACAAUCUUGGCGCACCGCGUCGUCCAUUACGUUGGUCAAUUUUGUUGCAGGAACUGCCAGUCAAAAGUACUGAGGCUUGGCGCGAUUAUGGCGCGAUGCGUCGGUAUCGCGUCGGUGCCAUCGAUGCACCGCAUCGUUAAUCGCGUCGAUGCCUAAUUUUUUAGUUUUUGAAAUCCGCAUCCAAGGGGGGAAAUUUAGUCUUUUCCCCACCUUCUAUCAGUCAUAGCACGGGAUUAAGGUCCCCAAAUACAAAAAUAUAGCCUUCUUCUUUAAAAUUCACCAAGAACACUUUCUAGGGUUUCAACCCGAAGUUCAAGAGAACUCAAGAUUUAACCGUCACUUUUCAAAAUUUCUUCAAGAAUCGGAAUCCCUAGACCAAUGGCAUCAAAAAUAUCAAUCUAAAGUCGCGAAUAGAGUCACAAAAGCGAGAGUUCAUUCAAAGUCCAUAAUCUAAUGUAUGUGGGGUUUGAACAAGAACACUUCUUCUGUUCUUGUGCCCAAAACUUUGAUUUUAUUAAAGAAUUUCAUAUUUCUACAAGUAAGUUUUUAUCCAAUUUACUCUAUUUUGAGUUUAUGAACUUAGAAAUUGUUCAAGUCUUGAAAUUACAUGUUAUCUCAAUUAGUUAUGUCUUGGAAUGAGGAUUUAUGUUGUGAAUUGUAUUUCCCCAUUGAAAACUGAUAUUUUUAAGUGUUUCCAAAGUUGAAGUCAAGAAUUAAACUUUAGUAUGAAAUUAGAUCAUUUGAGUAUAUGUUGAUGCUUUGAGUCAAGUAUGAAUUGUGAUGUUUCUUGAAGGCUAUGUCUUUAACGUGAUUUAAUAUACAAGUACUUUGAUUCUUAAAGAAAGAUCGCUUUUGACCCCAAGCUAAGAUAGGGAUCCACAUUGUUUAUGAUUUGAAGCAAAGAAAAGCAUAAUUGGCUUUCAUUAUACAUUAGUGUACUAUUUUAAGGUGGAUUUCCUAAAAGUUCUGAGCCUAAGUAUGGGAGUAGUAUUUACCACCGAGUUGGGCUUGAUUCCAAGGUUUCAUGCCUCAGAACUACGAGCCUCCGUAGGAUGAUAAUUUAUCCCAAGUGGGUUAAGAUAGUGAUCACUAAAGUUAAGGUUCUAUUCCGAUGCCAAGGGUAGAACAGCUCUCCUCAACGUGGGCAAGAUGUUGGACUCCAUGUCAGCUCACAUAGUUUAUAUCGAUUAGAAAAAACUCCCAAGUUUUUAAAGAGUCCCAAAGUUCUAUAAUCAUAAGUUUUUGAAUUCCUAAGGUUUCAAAAGAAGUUCUUUAUUCUCCUUAAGAUAAAAGUAUAAGUUUGAAAGUUAUUGUUUUAAGAUUCCUUUUUGGUUUACAAACUUUGAGAAUAAGAAGAGAAUACAGAUUUUAGAACUAAGUAUAAUGACUCACGAGAUUUUUUAUUACAUGUUUCAUUAUUCAUGACUUAUGACAUUUAUAUUUUGGACUUAUUCAAGCUAUGUGAGUCAUUCAUAUUUGCAUGCAUGGUUUCGUGAAGAAUAAUGAUAUUAUUUACUUAAUGCAUACACCCCCAUAUACUCAGUACAUUCUCAAAGUACUGAUCCACAUAAAUGUCUGUGUGCUACAUUAUCUCAUAAUGUAGGUUCAAGUGCUCAGUCUCAGCCGCGACAGUGAUUCCCGAGUACCUCCAUCUACACUCCGCAGUAGGUUAAUCCUCAUGGCUCGAGGACCUAUUUCUCAAAUUUUCAGUCUUGAUAUCAGUUGUUAUGGCUUUCAGUUCAGUCGAGUCAGUUGGGGGUUUGUCCCAAUGACUUUCUAGUUCAGUAGUAAGUAGAGGCUUGUCGGACUAGACUAGUAGUUGAUUCCCAGAUUUUUAGUAUUGAUUUAUCAAAUGAUUAUUUCAGUUGUUUUAGUUCAGAUUUGAUAUGACAUAGUGUUGUUCCAUGACUUAUCUAUCCUAAAGUAAGUGUUAAAAGUAGUAGCAGGCUCAAAGGGUUAGCUUGGGGCUACUUGUGGCCUUAACCACCGUGUGACGUUCCGGGAUGAGAUUUCGGGAUGUUACAUAUUCGAAGACAAAUAUUAUUCCUUUGUGGUUAUUUUCUGAUGUACUGGGCAUGAUAAGUAUUUUGGAUAAGUUCUUUCUGCAUUGUUAUAAUUACUUGUAUGGUUCGGCUUCAUUCUAGAAGCCUUAUCUUAGGCAUUUCUGUCUUUUCUUUUUCCUUUUUGUAUUAGUUUGGGUGAUAGGCUUACUUGUCAAGGUACGCUGCAACAAGUGCCAUCAUGACCCUUAUUUUUAGAUCGUGACAGAUAUAUCAUCACAUUUCAAAUUUAAAUGAUUUGAAAGAAUAUUCUCAUUCACCAACAGUCCUUUACCAUGAGAUUGUAUUGUAUUGUAUAUGAACUGGUCUCAAAGUGUGUCAUACAAAUAUUAACGUUAGCCAUUAUUUAUAAUAAUUUAUCUUUUUAAACUUGAAAAUGUAUCAAAUAGUGUGACAAAAGAGUGCAUAUCAUAAAACUACUAAAGAGAUAAUAUAAUAUAUAUGACAAAAACAGAGAACAAAGAUUCAUGCCAUUGUUAUCUGAAGAGUAUUUUUUUUGUUUUUAAUUUUUUUCGUAAGCAUAUUUUAUUUUUCUUGCAAGUUUAUUUUGAUCUUCCAUGACAAAAGUGAAUGUAACUGUAGUUUAACUGAAAAGAUAUUCAGUACUGAGAAAAUAAAAACAGUUGAUUAUGUGCAGUUGAGUAUUUUGUAGAUUAUUUUUUUGUUUUGUUUCUUUAUCUGAUAUUUAUUUAGUCAGCAAUUGAGUAUUAUAAAGUAUUAAAAAAUUCAAUGUGUUAAAUUUUCAAUGGACUUGCAUUGAACAAUGAAAAAUUAGUACCAAAUCUAACAUUGCGAAUGCUGCAAAGUCAAUUAUCAUAUAUGUGUUUUUUUAUUUUUUUAUAAAAUAUUUAUUAAAACUAUUGUCCUAUGAUAAGACUGUUGUCCUAGUUGCAUUCAAUAUUAAACAAAGCUACUAAUUAAGUGGGUCUUAUAUGAAAAAUUUGAAAAUAGAUGAACCAUUGUGUCUUUGAUGGAUAAAGAGGUUAAUGGUCAGUUCUGUUCCUUGUUAAAUAUAUUCUCCUAUUUUAGUUUAUUAUUGAGUGUAAUUGUAAUGGAAUGAUAUUGUUCUAAGGUUUUAGUAGUGAUACUUUAGUGCAUAUAGAGUAUUUGAGUUCUCAAAGGAGAAAUCCUUUGGGGCUUUGCAAUACAUCUUUUGUAUACAAUGUUGCAACCUGCUUUCAUGCCUGCAACAUGUUUACCUGUAAAAAUAUAUUUGAGCAAAAGUACUUUUUGAUUUCAACAUGGUGAUUAAGUAUAGUAGUACUACAAUAUCAUCAUAUCUAGGAUGAAUAGGGGUCAGGAUGGCUCGUCCGCCUACUGAUUUUUUUAACAGAUGUAAGAUGAGAAAUAUAAAGUCAUAGUGAUACCUCUUUGACUUUCCAAUCUUUUGAACAAAUAUGCAUCAAUUGAGUUUUUGAUGUCUCUAUUGGAGCCUCUAUUUAUUUCAAUUUACAAGAAGCUGAUGUUUUUCGUUUUCAUUUUAUGUUUUCUAACGUAGUUUUUUGUGAAAUUUGGUUAUUGUUCUUACACACAACUACAGAUUGUGGCAUGAGUUGUUUCUAUGAAAAGCUUUUCAGAAAAUAAUUACAUAUAAAUUACUUAUGUAGGGAAAUGUAUAAUUUUUGUAAUAUUAUUUUUUUCUUUCAAUGGACAUUAUGCAUUUACUAUUUUUUUGUUAUAUCUUUUACAAUAUGUUGCCACUUUUGUAGGAACUACUGGAGCAGUUGAAUAUGUUGCCAAGGUGAAUGGAUAUGUUGAGAACAUUGAAGUCAUUGCUUCCAAGUUAGUUGUGUCCAUGAUAUGGAUAAGCUAGUGUCAUUUCUUGUGAUUUACCAGUCUUAUUCACCUUGAUUUCUUAUAUGAAAACAUAUCAUAUUGAGGUAUUUUACUUAUUUGUAUGGAAUAUGAAAGAGCUGGUACUUUUUUUUUCUUUCAGUAGACUUUCUUGAAUUUUAGUGCCUUAUUGUUUGCCAUUAGUUCAUAGUGCUCUGCAUUUUGAACUUUAUUAUUCUUUUGAGAUUACUACCACUUAUGUUAUCCUAUUUUAUUAUUUAUUUUUAUGCUUUUUAUUUGUUAUACUGUUAUUUGUGCUGAGGCAAGGUUUUUUGGAAAUAACCUCUCUACUUCAUCUGAGAUAGUGGUAUGGAUUGCGUACACUUUACUCUCCAAGAUUUCUAGUUUGUGGGAAUACAUUGAAUAUAUUAUUAUUGUUGUUGUUGUUGUCCUAUGAUACUAAAUGAUGCGUUAUGAGGCUCCAUUGGCAAAAGAUUGAACAAUUAUUAUGAAAAAAGAAAUAACUGUCAACAACUUCACCUAUAUGCGGAAGAUUAUGAUUGAUACAGUUGGACUUUAAGAAUGAUAUAUAGUUAGUAAAAAGAUUUUAGUUCUUCUGGUAUCUGAAAGCUGGUUCAGAUAACUAGUAAGCAGAAGAAUUGUAAAAAGAAAUCCUAGUCUCUCUUGUACAUGUCAUGUUAAAAAAUAUUUACAUUGUGUUUAAGGACAUUAUCCUUCUUCUUUUCUUUUCUUUUCUUUUCCCCAUAUCAUCUGAUUGACAGUAUUAGAGUAGUCAUGCAUAAGAUUUUCCGUCUUACAUUUAGAUGUUUGUGGCAGGGUUCCUAGAGGCGGGAUAUUAAGAAUAUGAUCCUCCCAUUUGACAUUAGUUUUUUUUUUGGAUAUGAAGUUUUAUACAGGAUUCUUCCGAUGCCACAUUUCUGGUUCACGGUUCUCUUAGAGAGAAGUAAUUGAAACUGAUUCAACCUACUCUAUAAAAUUUUAUUCAGGAAAAAAAUUUAAGUGAUUAACUCUAUCUUCGGUGCCAUGCAAGCUGUGGUUGCCUUUUGAAUUAUUCUGAUUGUGGCCAUAUUUCUUAAAGAUCCCGAGAAGCAACAUCUUAAAAUAGGAUGGAGGGGAAUUUUAAUUUCACUAUAUUUUCCAUUGCUUUGAUUGAAUCAUCAAGCAAUUCCAGAAAAAUAUGGACGCUGAACAUAGUUUCAGGAUCAUCUCCACAGUAUAAUUGGGCUAUAUAUAAUGCUAUUUUUUCGUGUUGGUUGUUGUUUUCUUGUCUAUGUAUCUAAUCCUGUUUUGAUCAAUGUUCAAAUAAAAAAGUACAUAGAUGAGAUGGUUUCAUAUUUGGGCUAAAUUCUAUGGCAGAACAAAUUGUGCGCUGCUUACAGAGGUAGCUUUCAUAGAGUUCACAUCUUUUAAAGCUUAAGAUUAUGCUUUAUUUUAUAUUGUGCGUUGCUUCCAGAGAUAUUUCAAUGCUCUUAUAAUUGAAACAUUUAAUUUCUAAAGUAUUUUAUUUAGACUUUUUCAGAAUUAAACUGGGAAAGAGGAUCACAUUUAGUGAGGAUGUAAAUCAUGAUGGUGCUGAUAUUGGUGUCGAUGAUGAUUGUGACGGAGAAUGUGUAUGAUGGAGAUAAGCAUCCUAUUUUUUAUCCUUGUUCAGACACAAAAGUACAAAGAUGAGAUGGUUUAUUUUUCUUCGAUGAAUCUCAACUCUGUUUAUGUGACUAUCUCCUAUGUCUUUCUGAUAAUUUUGUUGAACUGUCUAUUUUUAGACCCAAAAUGGAUAAGAUUUAAUUGAAUGACUGAUUUGUUAUUUUUCUUUGUAUCUUUUUUAAAAUUUAGUAAAUUGAAUGAUUGACGAGUGAAUUUUGUCGGUUCCUACACUUUUGGAAGUGUUCUUUAACUUCAAUGCUCUGUAGUUUCUAAUGCAUCCACGGGAUGUAGUUCUAUAUAAACUAUAAGGCCUAUGCUCAUGAACAAAUGUAGCAUGAUAUUGCUAAAACCACUUUGGAAGAAAAUCAUGGUGCAAAUAAUUGUACUGGCAGAGAUGAGGAAGCUUAUGUUCAUGGGGAUUUUUUGCAAAUUGGAGGCCUAUUGUAUCAAAUAUUCAAGUGAAUCAUUUUAUGCCAAACCCGACAGAGAAAAUUCCUCUACUCAAGAUAUUUAGUGUUGAGAGUUCUCAAGUUGCUGAACAAAUGAAUAGCAGUGGUUCUAGAAAUUGACAAUCCCAUAUCUAUAACGAGAUCCCUGUUUCUCUGAGGUAUUCAUUGCAUCUUUGUACUCUUUUUUUGCUUUUUUGUUCACAGGUGUUUUCUCGAGAUUAUAGAUAUUCUGCGUUCCCUGUUGUGAUGAUUCAUUAUGCUUAUUAUCUGAUUUGAAGGUCAUCAAUAAUCGAGUCCAUUUUGCUGUCAUACCAAGCCUGCAAAUUAUAGAAGCAACAGUUAGUUACGCUAGCUUUAUGUUUACCUACAGUUAAGAGAGCUCCAGGUGUACCUCCCGUUAAUCUUCCACCAUCUGUUCGAGUAAUGUCUCAGUCAGCUUUUAAAAGCUAUCAUAUUGGAACAAAUUUGAAGCCUUUUAGUGAGGAUUCUUUUAUUGGUGAUGGUAUGAGAGACAAUGCAGUCCCCAUCAUUGCAAAUGCUGCAAAUUCAUUUACCAGAUAUAUUCUUUCUUAUUUUUUUCAUAAAAUAUUUGUUAAGACUGUGGUCCUAUGAUACUAAAUGAUGCGUUAUGAGACUCUAUUAAUAAAAGAUUGAAUAGUUAGUAUGAAAAAAGAAGAAAAAAGAAAGAACUGUCAAUAAUUUCAACUAUAUGUCGACGAUUAUGAUUGAUAUAGUUGGACUUUAGGAAUGAUAUAUAGUUAGUAAAAAUAUGACACUAACAAAUAUAUUUUGUUCCACCUUAUUGACAUUAUAAACUAAAUUAUAGAAAUAUUCUGCAGAUAGGUAAAAGAAAUUAAAAAAACACACGAAGAAAAACACCAUCCAUUCACAGUAGUUAAUGUUUGGAAGGCCAACUGGACAUUAAUAAAAUUAAUAACUCAUUAGUAGAUUUCUUGCAAUAUUUGUCUUAUUUAUUGUGUUUAAGAUCCAAUUUUCAGCUUUCAUGUGAGCUUGGUCAGUGUUUAUGAGAUUCAAUUGGAAGUUUCUUUCCAAGUUGAUAACGACGCUCAGAGGCAUAACAAAUUUCUUGGACAAUCAGAAGGUCACAAUUCGAGGUUGGUGACAUUGUUGUCAGGCAUCAUAAAGAUUUUACAAAAGAUUUUUUUUUGUUCAUCUUCAUAGUGUUGCAGAAUCCUAUCAUGAUGAUUCAGUAGAACAAAAUGGUAUAUGUCUUCUACCUGGAAUUUUCUUCUUAUUUUGGGUUCAAUUUACUGAUAAAGUUUUGCAUUGUAAUCUGUACUAAGAUACUAUUUUCUUUUUUCAAUGUAUACAUACUAGAAAUGUUGUUUCCCUUAUAUAAAUACAUUUACUCUUCACUAAAGCUCGCUAUAUGUGAAGUCACUCCUGUCCAAGGAAAAUAAGUAAAAAAGCAUCAACUAAAAUUUUUUCUCUUGCCAAAUAUUAAUAAAAUUAAAUAUGGUGUGGUAUGAGCUGUCAUCUGUAACUUCAACGCUAAUUGAAGCAUAAAAUUGCCAUUUAAAUAUCGUGUGGUAUGAGUUAUCUCUUAUAACUAAAAUGCUAUUAUUUUCGGUAUUUUGUACUUGACAAAUUUCUUGUAUAUAUUUUAUGAUUGCAUAUUGGGAACUUGAAAAUUCUUUUAAUUUGCUAUGACUUGUGUGGAAGUUCUGAAAUAGCUUGUGUGCUUUUCUUUUUUCAACUUUCAAUCCCUUAGUACUAUAAGCUACAAAAUUGAUUAGCUGGUUAAAUUUAUUCCAUCGAAAACUAGUUGGAGUGAGGAGAUAGAAGAUGCCUUCUGUUGCUUAAAAAGAUAUCUCCUUACACACCAUUUAAUAGUAGAAGAAACCUUUCUAUUACACUUUUGGACAACAGGCAAAAGAUCUUCUCUAAGAUUGAUCGUGAUGAUUUGAAUAUGCUUACAUCUUAGAUUGAUUUAGAAUGAAAAAAAUGAAGCACAUGAUACCUCAAGAGGCUGUAGGUGCUGCCGCAUAAGCGGUUAAAGAAGCAAAAUCAGCUAUAGCUGAGGCUGUGGAGGCAAAUAGGGAGGCUGAUAUUGUUGAAGCAAUUCAAGCCUUUUCAGUAGCUGAAAAAAAAAUGACAUGGGAGAAGUUUCCCAAGGAUGGUAAGACAUCCUUUUAUGCUAAUUAUUUGGUUACUAUGUAGCAUUUUACACGUCACUCCUAUCUUUCAUUUUAUUAAUGGUAGGAUAUGUUCUUCUUUAUCCAUGAAACCGCUACUGGUUAAUGUCGAGCCUUCACAUAAACUAUCAUGCCAUUAUUCUGGUUAUGAAAUCUGUUUCAAUAGACUAUGAUGAUUAUUAUUAAAACAGAAUUAAAAAAAGAAGCUAAUUUUACUCAGUAAAGCAACAAAAAAAGGGAGAAUAGAAUAUGAUUGUACACUUUGUAUCAUAGUUUAAGAAGAUCUUUAAUUUCUUGAUUUAUUCAAUAAAUUCAAACUAUAGGUUCAGAGUCUUAUGAUUUUAUCUUUAUAUACGUGAUCAAUAAGUCAAGUAGAUCAUUAUCUCAAUAUGUAACAAUUCACCAACAAGGUUCGCAAAGUGAUUAAGAAGGAAAGAAAAACAAGAGUAGGAAUUUUCAUGUUCAACUGUAUUCACUUUUUUUGUAAAUUUUAGUUUUAAUUUAUUUUAUCAUAGUAUGAACUAUGUUUCAUGUAAUGUAUACAAGAUCUUUCUUUUAUGAACAAGUACAAUAUUAGAUAUUUGUAUAAUUUAAUGAAGAAUAUGUGUGGGUGUUUCAUAUUUCAUUUAUCUACUUUUUGUUAUUCUGUUUUUUUUAAUGAACCCUAACAUCAAACAUAACCUAUUGGCCUAGAGCAUUUACCUUCUUUGGUAAAAUAUUUUCACAUAAAAGAGAAAUUAAAACAAUAUGCUUAGCAUUUUAAUUAUCCUGUAAACAAAUGUUGUACCCAAUAUUUCUAUAUCAUCAUAUUUCUGCAUUGACAAUUUUUUUGCAUAUUUGCUUUUUUUUCGUUAGACUGAUUUUCUGACAAAUCAACACUGAUUUCUGUUAGAGAUGAUUCACAUCUUGAAAUAUUGUUCUUGAUGGGAGUCUGUAAAAGAUUAUAUAGUGUAAAACUGUGUUAGGUAAGAAUAAAAAGAGUAAUAAAACGAGACUAUAUUUAGCAUCUUAAUUUUCAAAUAUUUCUUUAUAAUAAUUAUGUUAAAGCUAAAAUUCAAUUUUUAAUUGUAAGCUCUCUUUUUCUUUGUGUACAAAUUGAUAUGACCAAGAAAACAUAUAAGCAGAAUAUAAAAAUGCAAGUAUGUAAAGAAAAAGAGAUGAAUUUUCAUUACAAAAGAAAUGUUAUCACUUCAACGCAAAAUUAUUAUAUUUUUAAAAACGUUUAGGUUAAAAUAUGUAUAAAUGUAACAUAUAACUACUUCAAAAAGCUCAUCUCUUCCAUAACUUUGUGCACCUUCAAAGAGAGAAUCCUAUUACAUACAAUAAUGUCAUUAAAAAUGAAAUUUAUAAUUUUUAUGUAACUUGUGAAUUUUUUAUUUUAAAAAAAGUGAGUAACACUUACAGAGUAUUUUAAUGAAGGAUGACUGUAUUUCUUGAAAAAAGCUUCAUCAUCAUCAAACUUUACAACUUUGUAGACUUUAUCAUAUUUGUUUAUAUUAGAUUCCUUAACAAUGACCUUAAACGUGAGCUUUUUCUCAAUAAUGUUAUCCAAUUCACAUGGAUGCGAACAUUCAUCAUCGUUAAUUAAGUCAUUCUUCAAAAAAAUUUACAGUUUUUUCCAUAAGUUGCAUAGACUUACGAUUCCAAAUUAAUAGAAUUAUAAGACUAGUUUCAUUCAUUACACCGACUUGUAGUCUAUACCUGAAUUGCAUUAUUUAUCAUAUUAACAGAUUUAUUUUUUAUAGUGAAAUUCAUAUAGGAUUGUAAUAACAACUUUUGCUUCUGCAAUAUAUUUUGGACAAAAAUAUGAGUUAUCAUCUUGUUCAACUAUUGUAAGACACUUAUUGCAAGCCAAGUAUGACCAUCCAUGUUCAAGAUCCAAACAGAUAAAUUUUGCAGCAAUUCAUUAACUAGCUUCCUGUUUAAUAGAAAAAAUAUUGCAAUAAAUAUUAAAAUAGAUUGUGUAAAGUUAAUAGAAAAUGAAAAAUUUUAUUCUCAUUUCUGUGCAUAGAAUCAAAUCAUUGAUAUAUUUAAAAGGUAUAAUUUUUUUGGCUAACUCAUCUGUGGUAGAAUAACUUUGUUGAGAAAUUGUCUGGCUAAGCCACACAUAGUCAAAAUCACAUGUUGCAUUUAAUUUGAAAAAAAAUAUUAUAAUCUUAGAUAUUACUAUAUAUUCUAAAUUCUAAUGUUAAUUUUAGUUAAUAAAUUUGUUAAAGCAAUAGGUGGUGACAAAUCUGAAUAUUUUAGCCUUUAGAAAUUGAAGAACAACAAUCAACAUCUGUAAAUACACUCAAAUAAGGUUGAAUUUGAUACACAAGUUCACCCCAUAAAGUUGUUGAAAGUCUAUUUCUUCUAUAAGAAUAUAGAUUUGAUUUUAUGAUUUACUUUAUUAUUUUCCUUCUAUCAUAUUUGUGUAUUAAAUAUUGCAGCUUUAACAAAAAGUAAUAAGAGUAUAUAUAUACAAUAGUUAAUGCAAUUAGUGACAAAAGAUUAUUUUUUUGGAUCGAAAUUAUAUUUUGAUUUGAAACUUGUAGUGUAAAAAAAAUGUACUUAUCAUCUUCUAGUACAACAUUUAUAAAGAUACUAUUAUUGUCUCCUUGUUUAAAUGUUGAACCAUUUCAUGUGCCAUAACCUGACCAACGACAUCUAUAAAUAUAUAUGAGUUAGUCCAAAUAGAAACCACAUAUUAUUGAUCAAUUGUAAAUUGACUUUAAAAAAAAUCAUUACCAAAUAGUUCUGUGUCAUCGACAAUCUAUUGAAUUGUCAGUUAAUCAAAUGAACGCAAAUUAAAUAUGUCUACGAUAUAAAGGAUUAGUAAUUUUUUCAGUGAAAGUUGUUUUAUGAAAAUCAACCUCUGUUUGUGUGCAACAACAAAAUAGUUCAUGCGAUAUAACUCAAGUUCCUCUAUUUUAGUCUUGAAAAACUUAAUAUCAUACUUGUCAAUUGAGGCAUAUAUAUGAUCACCCUAAUUUGAGACGAAAAAUUAGAAUUGUUGAAUGAAUUAACAAUAUUAAAAAUUAAAAAGAAAGAUUAAUAAUGUAAAUAAAGUGAAAGAUUUAAAAUUACUAGAAAGCAAUAAGUACAUUUGCUUCCUGUAAAAUCAUAUCCAACGAAUAGGGUAUUUCAGUUUUGAAUUUAUUCGACACUUGCCACAAUCGAACAACUCUUACUCUCAAAUUCCAUUGCAUGAAAUUAUUAGUAAUUUGUGAGAUGCUAUAAAAUUGUAAAGCCAAGUAUGUUUAUGACAAUAUUAAGUAGAUUGAUUUGUUUUUUCAAGUAUAGAAACAAAAAAAUCGAAAUACAAAUUUGUGAAAUUGCAGAACAUUUAGAAUAUAUUAAGGAUUAAAUAAGGAUUAAAGAGUCGAAAGAUAAUUUAUCAGAAGUAGGACUGAAGUGGAUAGUUUUAAUAUCAACUCCUCAAAACUAUCCAUAUGAAAAGUUCCUCUUUCAAGUCAAACUAGUUUAUCAGUAUUUUUAAUUUUUAAUAUUUAAUAAUUUUAAUCAAUCAAGUAUUAGAUGUGUAUCGUGUUUUUUUAUCUGGCGAUUAUUAUUGUUUAAAUUGUUAUUGUAAUUAUUAAUUUUUAAUGAUAAAUGCUAUUUACAAUAUUUCGUUAUUUAACUUGUAUGUAGUGUUUAUAUGGUGUGUUUGUGUGUGGAAGUCAUGAUUUUUAAAAUUAUUAGUACUAGUUUAAGUUUAAGUUUUUAUUCUUUUUUUUUCCAGAAAAUUCAUGUUAUUUAUUAAGAAAAAAUAAAUGUGGAAGUUUAUUAGCAAAACUUGUUAGUGAAUACGGUAAUUUUUUUAAUUUUUUUAAAAUAGAAAUUUCUUUUGUGAUGGGAAGUUAUGUGUUUUUUAAAAUUGAAUUUUUAAAUAUUUUUUUAAAAUUAUUGCUUUUAUGUGGUGCUGACACAUGACAGUUUUGCCUCGUAGAUAGAUUAUUGUUACUAGUGUUCUGACCAUGUUAUUUGAAGCUCAAAAUAUAACUUGUAUACAAUUCUAACGUCAAAGAACUAAUUGGAACUGAAAAUCCAUUGAAGCCCGCUGAAGCUUGGGAUCAGCAACAUUUUUUAAUUCUCACAGUAUUGGAAUUAUAUUGUUUUAACAGUGAUAUGGUAUUAGGCUGCACACGAUUUGGAGGAGUUAUAAGAAAAUCUGGAAAGAUAAUUCGAAGGUAGAAGAUAAGUUUUAUGUGAUUAAAAAAUGCUAGGCAGAAAGGUCGACUGUAGUGUUAGAAAAGAUAGUGUUAAGACUAUCUUUGAAUGUGACAUAUUACUGAAUCAUGUGUGAAAAUUUCCCAAAUUUCGCAUGGAUAUAGUGAUCACACACUUAAUCAUCAUGCCAAAAUCUAUAACUGAUAGCUAGGAUGUAACUUCAUUUCUUAACCAAGGCCAAAUCUAACUCCAUGUUUAAUCAUGAUUCCGGGCCAACCACCUCGACUCCUUAUGGGCUUUGUCAUAGGCAGAAUGUUGGUGUUACCCGACAAUUAGAAAUUUCCUCAACACAAAGAUGCAACUUGAGAGAAUGGAUGAACAAAUUAAUGAGUAAAAUAUCUGCCCCAAGGUUAAGGCUGUCAAACGGGCUGGUUUGACCUGGCCCGACCCAACUCACUAGGAAACCCGACCCGAUUUGAUGCGGCCCGCUCAGCCCCCAGGCUGCAGGGCUGCUGGUCCCAAGUUGGACUAUUUUUUUGGGCUUGGGUUGACUCGGCCAGGACCCAACCCGGUCCAGGCCCACCAGUUGCCCGACCCGAUUUUUUUUUUUAAAGUUGUUUUGACCAUUUGGGCAAAAUAGUCGUUGGACCCAACAGCUAUAUGGCCGUUUGGAGCCUCAAAUGGCUAUUUGGCCUUUUUAUUUUAUUUUUUUAAUUUAAAAUAUUUUUUAAAAAUAAAAAAAAUUCUAUAAAUACCCUACACUUUCAAAUCAUUUUCCACACAAUUUUUAUUCUCUCAAAUCUCAUUCUCUCUCAAAUUUCUAUAUAUCUCCUAAAGUGCUCAAUUUAUUUUUUAAUUUUACGAUUAUAAAUACGAGUGAAAGUUUUCUAAAGUCGCAACUUUCGGAUACUUCCAAAAUUUGGUAUUGUCGUUCCAUCUGUUACUUUUAAUUUUUGAUUAGUGUAUUAAUUGUUGAAUAUUUAAUUUUAUUAUUUUUGUGUAUUUUAAAUUUUUUAGUUUGAUUUAUAUUAUGGAUAAAUUAAGAAACCUCGGUAAAAGUGUCAAAAAAAUUUAUCUCGAAAGUGGUAGUAAAAAGCGAAUUACUGACGGUAGAGGUAGUUCAAGUAGUAGAUAUACCCAUGUGCCUCAGGUACCUCUUAGUCAACCUUUUGAGGAAGAAGUAGGUGUAGGUGCUCACGAUAUGGAUUAUUUAGAAGCUCAGAAAAAUUACGGUAUAGAAGAAGAAAAUAAAGUAGAUGAGGUUAAUUUAGAUGAAGAUGAUGAAAAUAUUGAUGAGACAUCCGCAGUAGAAAAUGCUAAUGUUAAAUCUGAAUCGGUUAAUCGUCCUCCUCGUUCCCCAAGAGCUUGUAAAACAACUAGUAUUGCAUGAGAAUUUUUUAUACAUAUAGAAAGAGAAACUAAGGUGCAAUGCAAUAUUUGUCAACAAGUAUAUGGGCAUAAAAGAGGAGGCAAUCAAAGUGGUAUGGGUACAUUAAUGAGACAUAUAAGAGAGAAUCACCAAAGAGAGUUAUUUAUUGCAAAAGAUGGUGAGGCUGUUGGUGGGCCAAUGUUAGAGCAUGUGGAGUUUUGAUGAUAGACAUGAGAAUGAAACAUAUGGUAAAAGCUGUUCCGUCCAACUAAACCAAGAUCACCUGCAGAUAAGUUAUUGCUAUGAUGACCUGGCUUACAAGUAGAAGUGGAUAAUAUUUAUCACAUUAGAAGUUGAGUUGAAAAAGAAGACUUGCAUAAGUUGAGUGAAAAAUAAGAAGUGCAGAAGUUGAGUUGAACAAGG
This 58240-nucleotide long non-coding RNA is filed under the name Capsicum annuum. RNAcentral's name for it is "long non-coding RNA (CANN_LNC013657)". Lineage: Eukaryota; Viridiplantae; Streptophyta; Magnoliopsida; Solanales; Solanaceae. The record is from RNAcentral.